Molecule: long non-coding RNA, 62195 nt
Filed under: Solanum tuberosum (potato)
Lineage: Eukaryota; Viridiplantae; Streptophyta; Magnoliopsida; Solanales; Solanaceae
Description: long non-coding RNA (STUB_LNC009270)
Source: RNAcentral
GUAGGCUGAAGUUAUGUUACUAGCUAAUCUGUGGUGUCUGGGUCUAUGUGGCUAAACUUACUUUGACAUACUUGGAUUCAGAGCUGGAAAACAUAGAGAACCGGGUAGAAAAGUUAAAAGAGGUAUCAGCAGUAACACAUGUCCAAGCAAUAAUGCAGGGAACUGAAGGUUGAACUUAUAACACAACUCUGAUGUUCCUAAAGGCUAAAUAGAAAUGCAUCCAUACUCUUGUUGCCUCUUUUCUACUGAUAAAAUAGAUUUCUUGAAAUGAAAUCAUUAUUGUGGUUGGAACAUUAGUGUUUUAGACUUCGAACAUAGUGUUCUUCUCAAAUAAGAUGUGUAGCCAAGUGGUUUUCAUAUAAGAUUUGGAAGUUAGAUAAAUCUUAGUUCUUAAGUAAUUAUUUUCCAAUAUUACUGGCUUAUUUUAUAUAAGAUAUCCUAUACAAAAAAGGAUUAUAAAAUGUUAGAUAUCACAAGGUUGAACCCCUAUUGAUGUUGUUCUUUCUUGCAUGCCUGUAGUCAACUGUAUGUUCAUUUCCUUGUGACUGUGAGUAGAACAUUCCUGUAAGAAGAGAAUUGAUUACGCUGAUGUGAUGCAAUUUAGCCAAAUCAGACAUUGUUGUGCUCCCUAUGGACCGUUGAAUCUGACACCUUAGGUAGGAGUGUGACUAUAUUAAGAUGGCAAUGAGAGAUUGCUUUAGCGAUGACGAGCGUCCAUGUGAAAUCUAACGUUUGCAGUUUUGACUAAAUAUAGCGGCGGUGCAUGCUUUCUGCUUUUAUUUUCUGUUUACAUUGUAUUAUGCACUCUUCCCCCCUGUUUUUUUAAUAGCUCAUGACAGGCACAUAUGGGAAGUUAUCCCAGCUUCUCUCGUCCAUUCGCCUUCCACACAGUCAUAGUUGAUUCAGGAAUGACAUUUGAGUUUUGGAGGUUAUCCUUUUGUUGAUCUUUUAGGAGUGCCAGGAACCAUCUUUUCCCAGUGUUUGUUUCCUCUGUUAGAUGCUUUUCUUUUUGUUUGCGUGGGUUUUCAAUACUAGCUAGGAAGGGAGAUGAUGUUUGAAUACAACUGUUAUCCUAAUUUUCUGUACUUCUCCUUUGUUUGGACACAUGGGGGGUGGGGGGUUUGAAAAGGAGAGGUAGGUGAGAAGAGUUUUCAUGGGCAGCUCACAUUUUCUUUUAAAAAGUCAUAACGUUAACAAAUAGAAGUAGCUAUAAAAUGAAAAACCCCUAUAUCCUUUCAGACGUAAAAGACAGAUUUUACACUUUCACUUCUACAAAAAUGGAAAAGAAUGCAGAUUGCCUUUUCUUUUGUACAUGGAAUAACUUUAGUAUUGCAACAUUAUUUUACUGAGAGGCUAAGCUUUGUAGAUAUUCUUGAUGAUAUAUAUAUUUUAAAAUAUGGACAUACCUACUUGUGUUUAGUGGUUUGAAUAGUUCAUUUUUAUCACUGGGGUUGGAGACCGAGUUUGCAGUAGUUUAUAAAUUCUGGAAGCUUAGUCUGCCCUUGGCUCUUCAUUUGACUAAGUUAAUAAUCCCUCUUAGUGCUGUUUGGGUAACUAUGCUAUUUGUGUAAUUUUCCAGGUGAUUGAUAAAGUUCAAGAAGAAACAAAAAGCCGCGGAGGUACUACUUUGGACUAUUAAUUAUCAGGAAUACUUAUAACCACUUCUAUUUUAGCUAUUGGAUCAGUGUGGGGUUUGUUGAUUUUACAAAUACUGCCCUACUAGCCUAGAAUCAGUGUCUGAACAUUCAGCUUAAUUAGUAUAUUUUAAAAUCCUUUUGCAGAUAGAAAACCACCUGGUGUCGGUGGACGAGGAAGGGGAAGAGGAGGUAGGGAUGAAGGUGCUGCUGGAAGACAGGCGAAAGGCAUUGGGCGUGGAAUGGAAGAUGCAGGUGCCAAAGGCCGGGGCAAAGGAGGACCUGGUGCCAAGUCUGGUGGAAAAGGUAUGAAGUGUUCAAUAUGCAAUUUUAUUCUCAAUUCUGCUAAAGCUUAUGUUAUCCCCGAGUCUCAAUCCGCGGCACUGCAUUUCCAUGUGAGAUAUCUUAUUCAUGCAUAUAUCUAUCUAGCAAUCCAUUCAUGUUCAAUGCUUGAAUUUAGUCUCCAUACUACAGCAAGUCUGUGUUGUAACAGUCCUCAAGUAUAUUUGUGAAUGCAACAUCUAUAUAGCCAUUUGCUAAUAAGAUGAUUUUGGAUGGUAUUUAUUGUACAGGUGGUGGCCGUGGACGUGGCUAAUCGUCGUCAUUUAGAGACAAAGAAGCCAGAUGACAAGCUAGAUAUAUUGUAUCUAAUUUUGUUUGUACUUUCAAAUUAUUAAAAGCAACUUACCGGAGAAAAAGCCUAGCUUCCAGUUAUUAUUAUUUUAAGAUGGAAUGUAUGUAGGCUUGAAAUGUUCACUCUCUUUCCUUUGUGAAGACAUGUAAGAGUGCGUGUCUUGAAAAUAUUUGGCCUCUCAGUAUGUGUGUUAUUUUAAAUGAAAAAUGUGCUAGCUUUCUUUUACCCAAUCCGAGAAGCAGAGUUUCUUAUUAAAGACGCCUUUCACUUUAUACUUAGAAUGUUAAAUAACACGAGUAAAUAUUUCUGUACUUGAGAUUAGGGAGGCAAACAUUUGGAUUUAACUAUUAUUUUCCAAAAGUUGUGAUUAUUGCUUCUUUAUUUUUAGGUUUCAAGUAUGCCAAAAUUUGGAUGAGUCCUCGUUGAAAAUAUGACAUUUUUCUUGGAAAAAUUACGUAAUUAGACAUACUUCAUUACCAUAGAAGUAUAUUAUUAUUACUAUACUUUCAAAAUAUUGCGUAUUUUGCCACUAAUUAAGAGUUUAUUAUUAUUACCUACAUUUUCAAAAUAUUACGUAUCAUUACUAAUUAAGAGUGUCCUACGUAUUUUAUGCUUAGAUGCAUGUAUUUUUGCUAUAGGGUGAGAGGCAAGUGAAAUUGGUGAGGGAGGACAGCAAGAUUCGAUACAAGCAAUCACACUAGAUACAUGUAUUCGUAUGUAUUUGGUUGAAGCUAGUGAGAUUUGCUAGGUAUCUAGAUACAUAUACGAAGCGAGUAUCUUUUUUUGUAUUUCCUUUUAUAAUUCUUGUUUUGUUUGAGGUUUGACGAAAGAAAACUUAACCAAUAAUUGAAGCCACUUCAAGGCAAUCACAAAAUCUUUAGUAUAAAGACAAACUGAUUACCGGAUGCAGACAAAGAAGUCAAAAAUGUUGCCAUAUAAAAAUAUCAUUUUGUGUUGGACAUAUUUCUUUCCUCAUCAUUAGCCGUUAGUGUAGUUGAUGUUGGCAUCAAAGUAGAUAUGGAGUAGCAACAACAUGUGAUAGUUGAAUCUCAAGAAAUAGAGAAAGAAGAAGGAGAAUUAAAGCCUCAGAAGACGAAGCGUGUUGCUUCCCUUGAUAUUUUCAGAGGCCUCACUGUUGCACUAAGUUUGACCAUCUGUAUCUCAUAGAUUCAUGUUGCAGUAAGGACGUGAAGAUUUCACGAGAAGAGUAUUCAUGCUGUAACAUGAUUGAUUUUGUAUUCUCUUUAUCAAUUUUAAAGAAGAGAUUGAUUUCUGUAUCCCAUUUGCCCUGUCCCCUAAUGAAACCUGGCAAAUUUUUGAGUUUUUCUGCCUGAAUGAAUUUAAGUCAUUAUCUUUAUUUAACUACCUCAUGUAUAAUCUUAAGAAUGAUCUCCUUAGUCUCGUGAUUUGCUUGGACUAGAUUAUUGGAACCUAUUUAGUGCAUUAGGAUGUACACUAAUUCAGACAUCGAAUUUGUAGCUGAUGGUCUUGGUUGAUGAUGCGGGAGGAGAAUGGCCUAUGAUCGGGCAUGCACCAUGGAACGGUUGCAAUCUUGCAGAUUUUGUGAUGCCAUUCUUUCUGUUUAUUGUGGGAAUGGCCAUAACACUUGCUCUGAAGGUUAUCUUUGCAUUCUUUUUUCUUCUUCCCAUUAUCAAGAAGAUAAAGUAAGGUAUUUGGUCCUACUCAUUGGUGCUUAACUACUUAUUGUGUAGAGAAUACUAGAAAAGCUAGUGGCCAUCAGAAAGGUGAUUCUAAGGACACUCAAACUUCCAUUUUGGGGCCUCCUUUUACAAGGUCAGUUAUCUUUCUUUCCUUCCUUUUAUUUUAUUCUUCCCUUAAGUUUUCCAUAAUUCAUGCAAGAUCCAUUCUAUUCAUAUAGAAUAUAUCAUAGGAAAUCUAGGCGAAGUGUUGGACUCACAGUGUACAAGCUUCUGAAAUAAAGAAGUAACCUUUUCCCCCUUUCUCUGGUGAGGUUUCACAGUUCUUUAAUGCUAUUGACUGAAUGUAUAAUCUGUUGCAAAUCUGAAAAAGUAAUUUAGGUUGUCUUCAGUGGAGAACAUCUAGAGUAAUUAGUCAAUGUUGUGCUUUAUAAGUUGAUGAUUUGUAGGACUUAAACAUAUAUUGGAUUUCCAAAAGUAGUCACACGUACUCACCUUAGGGGGUUAUUGCUUUAUUAGCCCUCUCUGUGUGAUUCUGCCAACCUUCGCGAUUGCAAUAAGUUGUAACUACUAUUUAGCUUUGAAGAAUCUACAGAUCCUUUCUCCUUUCUAAUGGACAAUCUAUCCCAGAACGAAUGAUCAGUAAUGACAUCUACUGAUUAGCUUUCCUUUAGGAAACAGAAUUAUGUUUGGCUUCAGAUAGAAACUUUCAACCAAGUGGGAAUCCAUUUGUAAAACCUGGUCUUGCAUCUCAUCUUUCCUCUUCCCAAAAUCAUUAGUAGCCUAAACUCAUCCUUUGAAUUGUGGAGGGGGAUAUUUCCAUGAUCUUGACAAGCUAAAUUAUGGUGUUGACAUGAAUAGGAUAAGGUUGUGUGGCAUCCUCCAGGUAAUAGUUUCUGAUCCCACCCCCUUUUCUAUCUCUCUUUUGAAUGCUAAUAUCUUGUGUUGGUGAUAAUUCUCCUGCUUCUUAUCUUUGUAGUGAAUUGCUCUAUCUUACUUGGUAGUGGCUAUAAUAGAAAUAACAACAAGACAAGCCCAAUCCAAAGGACUACCAAUGGGAUGGUUCUCCAUUUUCAAAUUAUACAACUGGCAAUGGUGAGUAUUAUUUUGGUGUUUCCAAAGUGGUGAUAGCAUUAAGGAUCUCCAAGUUAGUACUAAACAUUUCUUCAUGAUUUCAGGGUUAUUGGAGCAUGUGUUUUAGUAGUUUACUUGGCCACAUUAUACAGAACAUAUGUUCCUGAUUGGAAUUUUGUUUUCCAGAACCCGGACAGUGUUGAUUUUGGGAAGACUUUAACCGUGAGUUUCACUUGUCCAUGUUCCAAAUUUACCUUUAAUAUUUCUAUAUUUAAAGUCAAAAGAUUUUGCUUUUGGUAUUAGGUAACUUGCAAUGCGAGAGGAAAUCUUGAUCCUUUUUGCAAUGCAGUGGGUUAUAUUGACAGACAGAUACUUGGAAUCAAUCACAUUUAUCCACGUCCGGCUUGGAAGAGAUCCAAGGUGAUUGGUUCUUCACAAAAAUUAUAAUCUUCCCUCUAUUGUUGUUCUUUGUUAUUUGCCAUCUCCAUUAUCACCCGGAUUAAGUUCAUUUGUAACACCCUUUGAUGGAUCUUAUUCUACAGGCUUGCACUAAAAAUUCUCCAUAUGAGGGACCUUUCAAGGAUGAUGCUCCAUCAUGGUGUUGGGCUCCUUUUGAACCCGAAGGAAUUUUGAGGUAGGAUUCGUAUAAUCAAUUCUCUCUUUUCGUUCAAGUCUUGUGUGCUCGUAUCAUCAGUACAAUCUUUAUCUUCGGAUUUCUAGUUGCUUGAUUAAUAAAAGCUUUUAAAGUCUAAUACCUUUUAUGCUACUUACCAAUGUUUAAUUUUUCCUGUUUGGUAAAUUCUUCUACUUAAGACUACAACUCAAUCUCCUAAAGUAGUCACACGUACUCACCUUAGGGGCUUAUUGCUUUACUAGCCCUCUCUCUGUGAUUCUGCCAACCUUUGCGAUUGCAAUAAGUUGUAACUACUUUUUAUCUCUGAUUAAUCUACAGAUCCUUUCUCCUUUCUAAUGGACAACCUAUCCCAGAACGAAUGAUCAGUAGUGACAUCUACUGAUUAGCUUUCCUUUAGGAAAUAGAAUUAUGUUUGGCUUCAGAUAGAAACUUUCAACCAAGUGGGAAUCCAUUUGUAAAACCUGGUCUUGCAUCUCAUCUUUCCUCUUCCCAAAAUCAUUAGAAGCCUAAACUCAUCCUUUGAAUUAUGAAGGGGGAUAUUUUCAUGAUCUUGACAAGCUAAAAUAUAGUGUUGACAUGAAUAGGAAAAGGUUGUGUGGCAUCCUCCAGGUAAUAGUUUCUGAUCCCACCCCUUUUCUGUCUCUCUUUUGAAUGUUAAUAUCUUGUGUUGGUCAUAAUUCUUUUGCUUCUUAUCUUUGUAGAGAAUUGCUCUCGCUUACUUGGUAGUGGCCAUAAUAGAAAUAACAACAAAGACAAGCCCAAUCCAAAGGACUACCAACGGGAUGGUUCUCCAUUUUCAAGUUACACAGCUGGCAAUGGUGAGUAUUAUUUUGGUGUUUCCAAAGUGGUGAUAGCAUUAAGGAUCUCCAAGUUAGUACUGAACAUUUCUUCAUGAUUUCAGGGUUAUUGGAGCAUGUGUUUUAGUAGUUUACUUGGCCACAUUAUAUGGAACAUAUGUUCCUGACUAGAAUUUUGUUGUCCAGAACUCGGACAAUGUUGAUUUUGGGAAGACUUUAACCGUGAGUUUCACUUGUCCAUGUUCCAAAUUUACCUGUAAUAUUUCUAUAUUUAAAGUCAAAAGAUUUUGCUUUUGGUAUUAGGCAACUUGCAAUGUGAGAGGAAAUCUUGAUCCUCCUUGCAAUGCAGUGGGUUAUAUUGACAGACAGAUACUUGGAAUCAAUCACAUGUAUCCACGUCCAACUUGGAAGAGAUCCAAGGUGAUUGGUUCUUCACAAAAUUAUAUUUUCCCUCUAUUGUUGUUCUUUGUGAUUUGCCAUCUCCAUUAUCACCGGAUUAAGUUCAUCUGUAACACCUUUGAUGAAUCUUUAUUCUACAGGCUUGCUCUAAAAACUCUCCAUAUGAGGGACCUUUCAAGGAUGAUGCUCCAUCAUGGUGUUGGGCUCCUUUUGAACCUGAAGGAAUUCUGAUGUAGGAAUAAUUUGUAUCAUCAAUUCUCUCUUUUCGUUCAAGUCUUGUGUGCUCAUAUCAUCAAUACAAUUUUUAUAUACGGAUUUCUAGUUGCUUGAUUAAUAAAAGCUUUUAAAGUCUAAUACCUUUUAUGCUACUUACCAAUGUUUAAUUUUUCCUGUUUGGUAAAUUCUUCUACUUAAGACUACAACUCAAUUUCUGCUAUUCUCUCUACGGUCCUUGGAGUUCAUUUUGGGCAUGUUCUUAUUUAUAUGAAGGUUAAGUCAAAAUCUUCUAGACUUGACCGUCUCACCAAAUUAAAGCAAAGUUACUGAUAUUCCAAUUUUUGUAACUUCAGGAUCACUCGUCCAGACUUUUGCAUUGGAUUGGCAUGGGCAUAGCUCUUUUAGUUUUAGGAAUUAUUCUCCACUUCACAGAUGGUAAAAUUCGCAGUUUAUGAAAUGCACUCGAAAGUUGAAUAUAUCUUUUUUUCUCUUCCUCAAUUUUCCUUUGAUGGUGCUGAAUGCAACUAUUCCUUUAAAUAAGCAAUUAUACACUUUCAGCUAUGUCUGUGUAACCUCAUGAGCAGUCGCGUUAGUGUUCUCUGCUUUCUACAUUAUGGUAUAGUAGUCUUGUCAAAAAAUCUGAUUACUUUACUAUAUGUCCCUAGCUACAAAUUGAACUGAUCAACUUGGUACAUUAGAAUUGAAAGUUCUAGACUUUUACGAUUUUAAAUCACACUUCCCUCUGAAAUGCAAGGCCAUUGAUUAUAAAACAAAAUUCUCAAGGUUCAAGUUGAUGGAAAAUGUUCCAAGUUUUAUGUUUUUAUCAAUCAAUACCGGAUGAUAUAGAGCAGGAAAAUGUAUAACUAGGAUUUUGCAGAAUGAGUAUUUUUAACAAGAAAAGCUUAGAGUGACAAUAUUCUGAUGUGUCAUCACCGUAGCAAGAUUCACAAACUUCUAAUCCCGAUCCUUUCCUUUUGGUCCUUUUGGAAUGCAGGUUGACAUUUUGAACUUGAAGUAUAUAUUUCUUCCACUAGAAUGGAUUGGUAUGAAUGCGAUGCUUGUUUAUGUAAUGGCCGCCACAUGAAUUUUUGCAGGUUUCAUCAAUGGCUGGUAUUAUGAGGACCCUCAUAAUACACUGGUAUUUCAUUCAUCUCUUUCAUUACUUCCUCACUUUGAUAUGCUGCAGUCCAUUGUAUAAAAAUAGUCAGAGGCGGAUUCAGGAUUUGAACAUUAUGGGCUCGAGUUUGAAAUUCUACCACAACAAAUAGGUUACUUGGUUCGAAAUUUGUACUUAUAUGGUGAAUUUUUUAGCACAAGCAAAGUUACUUAUGCAGUACAUCUACCUCUAGCCAUCUGCUUUCUGCAGCUAAUUGUCAAAACUUAAAUAGGCCAUACGACAAUUGUUGAUGUCGCACCCUAUUUCGAACCGAUCGAAACAGUUCACAACAUAAUAUGGCUGCCACUCUGAUUUUGGAAAAAUAAUGUUUUUUGUUUGUUUUAGAGUCGCCACCUAAAUUUUAAGAAAAAUAUUAGGAAAAUCAUUUUUUAAAUAUGUAGAUGUAAACUCUAUUUUGAUUUGCGAAACCAGUGAGAUUCUGAGUAUGAUUUUGGUUACUCGAGGGGAAGGUGUUAAGCAUCUCUCAGAGCCUAUCCGAAGAUAGUCCUUAAACUCAAUUUAGGAAAAAAAAUAGUUAGAAAAUUUUGUUUAUUUAUUUGUUUUAAAAAUCAAUGAUAAUUAAAUCUCGUUAGUUUAAGAAAAAGAGUAAAAUACAAAGUACGACACAUAUACGUUGAUAAAAUAAAUGUGCCUAAAGGUAUGUCAAUUUUAUAUAUAUAAAAAAAGAAGAUGUAUCUUGUAUGAAACUUAUCCAAGAUAUAAAUGUUGAGUUUAAAGGAUAUGAAAAUGUGUUAUCUUAUUUAUAUGCAAAAUUAAGAUGUAAAAGAAAAGAAAAUAAAAUGAGAUAAUAGUUGUGUAACACCCCGUAUCCGAAACAGACCAAAAAUGCAGAUUUUGAGAAGUUGCAGGUGCAACCCACGGUUGCCAUCCACGGACCGUAGGUCAGACCACGGCCCGUGCUGGUGGUCCGUGGUUCAACACUGAAACCCCUCCCAGACCUAGCUCAGAAAAUCGGCCAAGUCCCGACUCACGGACAGACCCACGGUCCGUAGAUCAGACCACGGUCCGUGGUCUGUGUCCGUGGAUCGAGACUUCCCUUACCCANNNNNNNNNNNNNNNNNNNNNNNNNNNNNNNNNNNNNNNNNNNNNNNNNNNNNNNNNNNNNNNNNNNNNNNNNNNNNNNNNNNNNNNNNNNNNNNNNNNNNNNNNNNNNNNNNNNNNNNNNNNNNNNNNNNNNNNNNNNNNNNNNNNNNNNNNNNNNNNNNNNNNNNNNNNNNNNNNNNNNNNNNNNNNNNNNNNNNNNNNNNNNNNNNNNNNNNNNNNNNNNNNNNNNNNNNNNNNNNNNNNNNNNNNNNNNNNNNNNNNNNNNNNNNNNNNNNNNNNNNNNNNNNNNNNNNNNNNNNNNNNNNNNNNNNNNNNNNNNNNNNNNNNNNNNNNNNNNNNNNNNNNNNNNNNNNNNNNNNNNNNNNNNNNNNNNNNNNNNNNNNNNNNNNNNNNNNNNNNNNNNNNNNNNNNNNNNNNNNNNNNNNNNNNNNNNNNNNNNNNNNNNNNNNNNNNNNNNNNNNNNNNNNNNNNNNNNNNNNNNNNNNNNNNNNNNNNNNNNNNNNNNNNNNNNNNNNNNNNNNNNNNNNNNNNNNNNNNNNNNNNNNNNNNNNNNNNNNNNNNNNNNNNNNNNNNNNNNNNNNNNNNNNNNNNNNNNNNNNNNNNNNNNNNNNNNNNNNNNNNNNNNNNNNNNNNNNNNNNNNNNNNNNNNNNNNNNNNNNNNNNNNNNNNNNNNNNNNNNNNNNNNNNNNNNNNNNNNNNNNNNNNNNNNNNNNNNNNNNNNNNNNNNNNNNNNNNNNNNNNNNNNNNNNNNNNNNNNNNNNNNNNNNNNNNNNNNNNNNNNNNNNNNNNNNNNNNNNNNNNNNNNNNNNNNNNNNNNNNNNNNNNNNNNNNNNNNNNNNNNNNNNNNNNNNNNNNNNNNNNNNNNNNNNNNNNNNNNNNNNNNNNNNNNNNNNNNNNNNNNNNNNNNNNNNNNNNNNNNNNNNNNNNNNNNNNNNNNNNNNNNNNNNNNNNNNNNNNNNNNNNNNNNNNNNNNNNNNNNNNNNNNNNNNNNNNNNNNNNNNNNNNNNNNNNNNNNNNNNNNNNNNNNNNNNNNNNNNNNNNNNNNNNNNNNNNNNNNNNNNNNNNNNNNNNNNNNNNNNNNNNNNNNNNNNNNNNNNNNNNNNNNNNNNNNNNNNNNNNNNNNNNNNNNNNNNNNNNNNNNNNNNNNNNNNNNNNNNNNNNNNNNNNNNNNNNNNNNNNNNNNNNNNNNNNNNNNNNNNNNNNNNNNNNNNNNNNNNNNNNNNNNNNNNNNNNNNNNNNNNNNNNNNNNNNNNNNNNNNNNNNNNNNNNNNNNNNNNNNNNNNNNNNNNNNNNNNNNNNNNNNNNNNNNNNNNNNNNNNNNNNNNNNNNNNNNNNNNNNNNNNNNNNNNNNNNNNNNNNNNNNNNNNNNNNNNNNNNNNNNNNNNNNNNNNNNNNNNNNNNNNNNNNNNNNUAGUCUUUAGUUUCAGUUUUUUUGCUAGACCUAGUUGGGGCAUGUCCCAACAUUUCUAGUCAGUUUAGAGGCUUAUUUCAGACAUAGUUAGAUUCAGCUUAGUAUUGAGUUAAUAUCUUCUUUGUAUUAAACUCAUCAGUUUUCAUUUAUCUCAGUUAUAGUAUAUGGGUAUUCCCCAUCCUUUCAUGUUAUUUAUGAUUUAGCUUCCGCAUAAGUUUAUUAUCUUUAGUAUGCUCAUGAUCAUGCCAGCAGGGUUAGCUUGGGAUCACUUGUGAUCCUAGGUCCCGUGUACGCGUCUCGGGGGUAGUCUCGGGGCGUUACAAACUUGGUAUCAGAGCCACGAUCGACACCUUGUGUUUAUUUGGCUUUUUCAUCAAAUUAUCAUUGUUAUCAAUGUUUUGAUCCAAAAUCUUCAAAAAUAUACUUGUCUCGUGAUGUCAAAUUUUUUGAAAGUAUUUUUCCUUUCCAGUAUAUGUUUUCAAAGAUUUCCUCAUGUUUCAGACAACUUGCCUGGGACGACUUGGUUACAACUAACCAGGACAUUUCUCAUAUGAUUUCUCCUAUGCCUUGUACAAAUUUACCGCCUUCUAUUAUUCUGACCAAUGCAGAUACCAUCCGGCACACGAAUGAUACUGUCUCCUCUGACUGCUCUCCAACAGAGUUUGCAAUACCAGGUACUUUUUCACUUUCUUCUCUUCCUGAUGCACAAUCUUCUCCUCUGUUGUCCUUCAUCCUUGUCGAGAGAACUUCCAUUCCAAUACCCUUUCCAUCAACUCAACUGCCAUCAACAUCCUAUCCACCAUCGCUAAAACCUCCUAUUCGGUUCGUGUACUCUCGUUGCUCCACUCCAGCGGCAAUAACGAACACCUAUGCCCCAACCUUGCCCGAACCACACCCUUCCCCUUUGCUUCCAAAUUGAGUCGUUACCCCCUCACAACACAAUACCCAUAAACCAAAACCAAUUUUUGAUUACAUGGCUCACCUCCCACCUAUAGUCACUCCCAGCACCUUCAACCAAGCAAGCAAACACAUAGAGUGGCAGAAUGCUAUGCAAGCUGAAUUUGAUGCACUGCGUAAAAACCACACGUGGGAAUUAGUACCUUCUGAUCCGUCUAAAAAUGUCAUUGCUUGUAAAUGGCUGUACAGAAUAAAGCGAAAAGUUGAUGGUUUUAUUGAUCGUUGUAAAGCCAUAUUGGUCGCAAAGGGAUUUACCCAACGUCACGGUGUUGAUUUUCAUGACACGUUUAGCCCAGUAGUCAAACCAACUACUAUUCGUGUGGUCCUCUCUAUUGCAAUCAAAUUUGAUUGGCCUCUGCGUCAACUUGACGUUAAUAAUGCAUUUCUUCAAAGAUGUUUGGAUGGAGAGGGUUUAUAUGGAACAACCUCGGGGAUUUGAAGACAAGACUUGUCCAACCCAUAUUUGUCGUCUUCAUAAAGCUAUUUAUGGACUCAAACAAGCUCCUCGAGCAUGGUACAAUGAACUCAAGAAUCAUUUGGUCCUGUUAGGCUUCAUAAAAUACGGCUCCCUUUUUGUUUGUCAUCAUUGUCAUGCCACGGUGUACCUACUGGUAUAUGUGGAUGACAUUAUUGUUACUGGCAGCAAUACUUCAGUUGUUAAUCAAUUAUUUCUUCCCUUGCAGCUAGAUUUUCUGUUAAAGAUCCUGAAGCUCUCACCUACUUUUUAGGUAUUGAAGUCAUUAGAAGUGUGGAUGGUAUUAUUAUGACUCAGAGUACCUAUACACGUGAUAUAUUGCGUGAGGAGAACAUGGUUGAUUGCAAACCUGCUAAAACUCCAAUGAGUACUACUAAAGUACUCAAGGUCAAUGAUAGCGGAUUAUUAGCUGAUGCAACCAGAUACAUAAGGGUGAUAGGGAAGCUCCAAUAUUCUUCUUUCACUCGUCCAGACAUUUGUUUUACAGUAAACAAACUGUCACAAUUUAUGCAAACUCCCUCCGAGAUCCACUGGAAAGCUGUCAAACGGGUACUAAGGUAUCUUCAAGGGACUGCUCAUCUUGGCUUACGGUUGAUGCGCCAUAAUGAUUUCUCUUUACAUAUGUACUCUGAUGCGGAUUGGGCUGGAGACUUUAAUAAUCGUGCUUCUACUGCUGGAUACCUUCUGUUUAUUGGCCAAAAUCCUGUAAGUUGGUCCUCCAAAAAGCAAAGAACGAUUGCUCGUUCUUCCACUGAAGCUGAAUAUCAGGCAGUUGCAAGUGCUCUUGCAGAAAUAAACUGGGUCACAAAUCUUCUCGCAGAACUGCGACUUAAAUUUCAAAAAGUCCCAACUAUCUACUAUGACAAUGUUGGUGCGACGUAUUUAUGUGCAAAUCCUGUUUUUCACAGUCGCGUGAAACACAUUGCGGUGGAUUUCCAUUUUGUGCGCAAUCAGGUUCAGCUCAAGCAAGUUCAAGUUGUCCAUAUACAAUUCGCAGACCAACUUGCAGAUACUCUAACCAAGGCCCUUUCCAAAUCAGCCUUCGACAGACACAUGUUCAAGCUAGGUGUUGUUGCACACUGCCUACCUUGAGGGGGGCGUAUCAAUGCAUAAGUUGCUUUGUACAGCUGUUAGAUAGAAUUAGUUAAUUACUGUUUUAUUAGUCAUUAGUUACUGUUGAGUUUUACUAUUAGUUUACUGCUGCUCUUCAAUUUUGACUAAGUCUCUAACAGUGUUUAGGCUUAGGAUUAUCUCCCCAUUUUGUGGAGUUAGCUUAGGAAAUAGUUAGACCAUCGUGUAUAUUUAUUUCCAUUCCAGCAAUAAGAACAAAAGGUUUUUCUGCAGCUUAUCUUGUUUCUUUACAAAGUAGUACCUCCACGACUUUUUGUUUCUUCUUGAACUUUAUCAAUCACCAGGAAAAUUACACAAAUACCCAAACAACACUAAGAGGGAUUAUUAACUUGGUCAAAUGAAGAGCCAAGGGCAGACUAAGCUUCCAGAAUUUAUAAACUACUGCAAACUUGGUCUCCAACCCUAUUGAUAAAAAUGAACUAUUCAAACCAGUAAACACAAGUAGGUAUGUCCAUAUUUUAAUAUAUAUAUAUAUCAUUAAGAAUAUCUACAAAGCCUAGCCUUUCAGUAAAAUAAUGUUGCAAUACUAAAGUUAUUCCAUGUACAAAAGAAAAGGCAAUCUGCAUUCUUUUCCAGUUUUGUAGAAGUGAAAGUGUAAAAUCUAUCAUUUAUGUCUGAAAGGAUAUAGAGGGUUUUCAUUUUAUAGUUACUUCUAUCUGACUUUUAAAAGAAAAUGUGAGCUGCCCAUGAAAACUCUACUCACCUACCUCUCAUUUUCAAACUCCCCACCCCCCAUGUGUCCAAACAAAGGAAAAGUACAUAAAAUUAGGAUAACAACUGUAUUCAAACAUCAUCUCCCUUCCUAGCUAGUAUUGAAAGCCCACACAAACAAAAAGAAAAGCAUCUAACAGAGGAAACAAACACUAGGAAAAGAUGGUUCCUGGCACUCCUAAAAGAUCAACAAAAGGAUAACUUCCAAAACUCAAAGGUCAUUCCUGACUUGACUAUGAAAGUGUGGAAGGCGAAUGGACGAGAGAAGCUAAGAUAACUUCCCAUAUGUUACUGUCAUGAGCUAUAAAAAAAUAGGGCGGAAGAGUGCAUAAUACUCUCUAAGAAGAAAAUAAAAGAAGAAAGCAGACGCCGCCGCUUUAUUUAGUCAAAACUGCAAACGUUAGAUUUCACAUGGAAGCUCGUCAUUGCUAAAACAAUCUCUCAUUGCCAUCUUCAUAGAGUCACACUCAUACCUAAGGUGUCAGAUUCACGGUCCAUAGAGAGCACAACAAUGUCUGAUUUGGCUAAAUUGCAUCACAUAAGCGCAAUCAAUUCUCCUCUUACAAAAAUGUUCUACUCACAGUCAUGGGGAAAUGAACAUACAGUGGACUACAAGCAUGCAAGAAAGAAUAACAUCAAUAGUGGUUCAACCAUAUGAUGUCUAACAUUUUACAUUUUUUUUAGUAUAGAAUAUCUGAUAUAAAAUAAGCAAGUAAUAUUGAAAAAUAAUUACUUAAGAACUAAGAAUUAUCCAAAUUCCGAAUCUUAUAUGAAAGCCACUUGGCUACACAUCUUAUUUGAAAAGAACACUAAGUUCAAAGACUAAAACACUAACGUCCCAACACAACAAUGAUUUCAUUUCAAGAAUCUAUUUUAUCAAUAGAAAAGAGGCAACAAGAAUAUUGGAUGCAUUUAUAUUUAGCCUUUAGGAAUAUCAGGGUUGUGUUGUAAGUUCAACCUUAAGUUCCCUGCAUUAUUACUCAGACACGUGUUAAUGCGAAUAUCUUUUUUAACUUUUCUACCCGGUUCUCUAUGCUUUCCUGCUCUGAUUCCAAGUAUGUCAAGGUAAGUUAGCCAUAUAGACCCAGACACCACAGAUUAGCUAGUAACAUAACUUCAGCCUACAACAACACAACUGAAAUCCACCCCUAAAAGCCCCAUUGAGUGAGUAACCAGACAAGUAUAUCCAUGAGUCUGGUCACACCAAGAUUAACUAGUAUCUUGAUUCCACCUACUUACAUCAAACCAAGCCCCUAGAAUGCACCACGAUAAAAGUGUAAAUGGACCGUCCUCAGUGUUCUGUACAAGAUGUUAUUAAGUAAAUUAAAAUGUAUUCUCCCUAACAACUUAAGCUUUUACAUCAAAUGAUCACACAUUUCACAUCUCAACAUGGUGCAAUUCUCAACCCACCCAUUAUCAGAAAAUAAGUUGUGUGCUUGGCACAGGAAAAAGAACUCAGGCCUGCACGUUAGGUGUGUAUAAAAAUAUUAUUGUGUAUAUUAACGUGUACUCUCUAUGAAAACUAAAGAUUUUCCAAACUCAUUGUCAUAUUGAGUGAUAGCACUAAAGCAAGUAGUUUAGUCCUAGUUACUUAAAGUAGAAACUGCCAUUCCAGAACUAGUUUACAAACUUGAAAACCUAGCAAUAACAUAUUAAAAAACAAUGAAUUUACCUUUGACGUACAGAUAACUUCACGAAGAUGGAUAUUUAACCAAGUAUCACAAUUCACCAAAUGACCAUUAUAAGUCUCUCCAUUUUUUAGCUCCACCAACUGUAUUAGAAAACAAAAGUUUCCAGAUUAAGAUAAUUGAACAAAUAGAAUAAUCCCAUACGAAUUCUCAAAAUCCCUCGAAUCUCGUGGGCUCCAGGGACUUGUGGCAUAUUUUGGAGAUACAAUAUAAAUAUGCAGAAAUUGAUAAACUAUACCAACAAAAAAUCUGUUGCCUUUAAGAAUGUUAGCCAAAAGCCUCAACUAACAACAGGACAAAACAUGAAAUCAUUAUUGUUAUUCUCCCUCCAAUUUUCCAAACAGCUACAACAUGAGAAUUUCACUCUUGUAUUCCUAUAACUAUUUUAUUCAUAGGGUUUGUUGUUUUUGUAUGUUAUUAAUAAGUUCAGGUUCAUUCAAAACAUGCAGCACUUGGAAAAACCUAAUUGAGCUAAUUGCAUUACCACACCGAAAAGAAAUAAGAUCAAACUAAACAAUAGACAAGGAAUAGAGAAAAAAAAGAGACACUACCCCUCUUCCACAUGAAUUCAAAAGCUUACCAUAGGAUGCCCCUGUGCAGUCUUGAGCAAAAAGAGGGGAAGCUGAGACAGAAGAAAAAUAAAAAUUAGAGCUUCAUAAGAACUCAAAACCCUAACCCUAACCCUACAGCUCACAAAGCGAUUUUCGUUAAACCUACCAUCUUUAGAUGGGGGAAAUUCCGAAUUUAAAAUAACCUGCAAAAGUCAAAACCCACGGAUUACCAAUAAAACAAAAAACUGAUCCCGAAGAACUGCACACACACAAAAAAAAAGAACACUUAAAUCUGCAAAUUCUCUCUUUUUUUACAUUCAAAACCUAGACACACUUAAAUCUGUAAAUUUUUUCUUCUUUACAAUCAAAACCUAGAUAGUGCAUGAGUUUAUACACAUAAUCUGUGCUAAUACAUAUAAGAUAUUCAAAGCCUUACCUAGCUUGAUCUUCGUCUUUUUCCUCCCUUUGUUGAAAAAAAAAACGAAAGCCUAAGGUUCCUAGAUUAAACUUGAACUGUACCAAAUGGAGUCCAGAUUUAUUGUAAAUUGAAAUUUUUCUGUUCUACCGCCUUUAGGGCUAUGAAGUAUGAAUUGGGUGGGCUCCACGUUUCAUGGGCUGUAAAUUGAAUCGUCUACUACUUUCACUUUCAUCUUCUUUUAAGAGCAACUUUCACAUAUAGUAAACAAAAAAAUCAUAUUUGUAUGCUAUAGCAAAGUUUGCAUAAUUGCGCUCCAUAGCAAACAUAUAUAUGUAUAAUUCGCUAUACAUAUACAAUUGUAAGCUAUGUCUAUUUCGCUAUACAUAUAUACAAAGAGAAGCAAUUGUAUAAUUCGUUGGCUCCUCUUCAGAUUUGUAUAAUUUCGCUGGUAGACCAUUUGUAUAAAUUAUUGUUAGCCUCUCGUUUGUAUAAAUCAUUGACAAAAAUAUUUGUAUAUCAAAAAUCGUUCUCUCUUUCGCUUUAUACAAACAUAAAUUAUACAUUAUACAAACAUAAUCUGUGUUUGUAUAAAAUGAGAAAGAGAACUGGGAAGGGAAAUAUUUGCAUUGUAUAAUUAUAAGUGUAUAAGACGAAUAUAUAUGUAUUUGCAUGUGUAUAUACAAUUUUCUUUCGCUUUAUACAAACAUAAAUUAUACACAAUACAAACAUAAAUUAUACAUUAUAUUGUAUAAUCUGUGUUUGUAUAAAACGAGAAAGAGAGAAACGCAAAAGAGAACUGGGCAGGGAAAUAUUUUUAUUGGAUAAUUAUAAGUGUAUAGGACGAAUAUAUAUGUAUUUGCUACAAUUUUCUCUCGCUUUAUACAAACAGAAACACAAUUUAUACAAUUCUAUUGUAUAAAGCGAGAGAGGCGAGCACAAAGAGAGUGAGCGAGAAAGGGAGAGUGGUGAACGAGAAUUUGGAGGGAGAGAGGCGACUGACAAACGUUUGCUACGGGGAGCAAUUAAAUCAAACAGUAGUUACUCCAUUUAUUUUAGAUUAUAAGUUUGUCAUUCAGUACAACUAACCCUUUUUUUAAACAUCUUCAACCAUAUUCUUUAUUAGUCUCCAAAUAUAGAUUUAUUUAUUUUUUAAAUCAACUUCAACUCAAUUUUUAUUUUUUUAGAAAACCAAUCCCAACUCAAUUCUCUAUUUUAUUCUUUAAAAUAUAAUUUAUUUCUUUCUCCUCAAUAUUAUAUUUUUAUUUCUAUUUCAUUCUUAUUUUCUUAUUUCAUAACAUAAAUUAUUGCUUCAUUUUAUGUUUUCAAAUAAUCACUUUAUGGGGUAAUUUUCAUGUGAUAUAAUAUUUUUAUUUUCAAAUUAUUUUUUAAUAUAAAAUUAUAUUUUAUUCUAAAUUUCUAAAUAGCAUAAGCUGCAAUCAAAUAUUAUAUAAUAUACAAAUUAAUGCACAAUUCGAAUAAAAGUGAAAUCAUUAAUGAAAUACAAUUACAUAAAAGUUACAUAAAUACCUAACUUUCAAGAUUAUUAUGUUACUCCCAAAAUUGCUCUAAUAAUGCAUUACGGAGUUCAAAAUUAAACAUUUUUUAUCCUUAAUUUUUUACGUCUAACUAAAAAUAGUUCAAAUAAGAGAUUUUCAUCUACCACAAUUUAUGUUGGUACAAUUAGAGUCAACUACAUCCAAACAACAAGACGGCGUAAGGCUAGAUAGAUAUAUCAAACUCAAGGAAGUUAUAUAAGAAAAUAAAAUUUUAAGGAUAAAUUUAGAAGUUAUUAGUGAUCCAAAUGUUCGUAAUUACAUGCAACAAGAACAACUAUGAAUAAUUGGAAAAAGAAAUCAAUAUGCACAACUGCAAUUAUAACAAUUUUCUGGACCAUACAUUAUUUUUUCCCAAAAUAUUGCUAAAUCUGGAAAUAACCUAUUGGAUUACUAAAUUAAUGUUGUGAUAAAUAAGUUAUUAUGUUAUUUAUGGUAUUGUUAUUUUUGUGUUUAAAUUAUUAUCUUAUGUAUUGUAUUUUUAUCUUGUAAUUAAAUUAUCAUCUUAUGUAUUUGGCUAUUAUCUUGUAUUUAAAUUAUUAUGUUAUGUAUUGUAUUUUUUAAAUUAGAAUUUUCAUCUUAUCGUUUUAAUUGUACGUUUGUUAUAGUGAAAAUUAAUAAUAAAAUAAAAUUAUAUUAGUGACAAAAAAAUUUAAAAAUUGAAAUAUUAUCAAUUCAGAAUGAAUAUAGUAUAUGUUAAAAUAAUAUAUUUUUUAAAUAUUAUAUUACAUUUUUAAAAAUUACGAAUAUUAGAUAUUUAAGUAAUAACAUUAUAUGUAAAAUAAUAUGAUAAUUACACAAUAGAAAUAAUAAUAAAAUAAUGUAAAAGUGGUUCUCCAAAUUUGUAGAACUAAUAUUCACCUCUAAAAAUGAAAAAUAGAGAUUAAAAUAAAGAGGGGUUGGAUUGCUCAUUCUCUAUUUUUACUCUCUGAAUAUAAAGAAUGAAGACUAAAAUAGAGGUGGGUUGAAGAUUGUCUAAACAUUGGAACGAUACAGGCAAAACAAUAUUGAACGAUACAGGAAAAAAUCAAAAUUGGACAAUAGUUUCUACUUUGUCUGUUUGGUUUUCGUCCAAUAUCCCAUUUUAGGACAUCUGUUUAAUAAAUGUUUACUUUCUUAUUAUAAUUUAAGGACACUUUAAAUCAUAAUCUUUCUUCGAAACAAACAAAAAAUCUAAUAAGAAAAUAUUAAACCACAUUCUUAUAAUAUAAAUUAUGACGAGCGUUAGUUGACAAUCAAAUAGAGUAUUAAGAUUGAAAACAGUACGAGCAAAACAAUCAUUAGACCAAAAUGUAAAAUAAUUCAAAAGUAUAAUUUAUCUCGAGUUUACAUUUGCACAAGUUUUUAAAAAUAAAAAACGAAUUCGAAAUGAAAGUUAUCUAAAGAAAAGGACAUGUACGUGGUUGGAUUUGGGCCAUAGGUUUACUAACCAUUUGUCAGGUUAAGGAGGCCCAAUCAAUUGAGGGUAAACUAGUAAUUUAACGAAAAUACGAAAUUGAAAGGAAAGUCAAAAAUUUCAGAAUUUCCACCAAAAACUAACUGCCAAAAAGAGUUGAGCAAUAAAUCAAACAGUUUUACAGAUCUACACACAAUACAAACAAAGGUACUUUCGUCUUCUCGAAUCUCUCAUCUUAUCAGUUUAGAUGUGUUUUUUAUUCUUAUCUCAAAUUUAAAACUAGUAGCAUUAUAUAUUUUGAACCUAUAUUUUUAAAAAUUUAACAAUUCAAUGUUAAGAACUUAAAGAUCAAAACGGACAAAUUUAUAUCUUAGAUGCAUCUUUUCAUAAUAAAACACUCAUCCUUCUAAAAUUGUGAAUACACCUCUGAACGUGAUGCACUUGAAACAUUAUAAUAUGAAAUCAUUGUAAGUUAAAUAAACCUAGAAAGUGCAUAUGCAAAAUUACCAACGAAUAUGGUCAAUCACCCAUUAAAAAUAACUUUGAUAAAUAAGAUAUAAGUAUGUCAAACACAACUAACCGAAAAAUAGAAAGAAAAAAAGUGCAUAGAUUUCAAUUGGAUACCCUUCUUCACCUGCCCUAAGCAAGAUUAGCUCACACAUCUUCUGCGUAGUGCUAACGCAACCUUGUCCUCGAGAUACAAUAUAUUGUUCCGAAAUCGUCCAAAUAUACCCUCAUACUAUGCAAAAUUAAGCAUAUUUUCCCUCCGUUAAUACUUCAAAUCACUAAUGCCCUUAGCGUCAAAAUUACUUGGUCCAAAACAUGUUGUGCAAGUCGGGCCAUAAAAGUCUCUCUUCAACCCCACACUCCUUCAACCUUCAGAGAUAUAAAGUUAGUAAUAGAGAAGUAACUACAACAACAUAGCUAGUGUAAUUCCACAAGUCGAGUCUGAAGGUAAGAUAUAUGCACAUCUUACUCAUACCUUUGAGAGGGGGAAAACUCUAGACUAAAAAAAGAAAUUAAAGGGCUCUUUAGUCGCAGUUAGCAUCGAUGAGGAUGUACCAAUUUACAAACAAUGACAAGUCAUUUUGUUCUAAUGCAAAGCACUUAGAUACAAGAUCCAGUUUUGACAAAAGCUCAAGUGUUUUCUUCCAAGUAAAAACUAUAUAUUUUAUCAAAAGAGAAGUCACCAAAGCAAUGAACAUGCAUCUUUUGAAUUGAUAAUUGCUCCAACUAUAUAUAAUUCGUUGCAAAAUUUGAAGUAAAGUUUGGCUCUGAUUUUGUGCACCUCAAGUCAAUCAGCCGAGUCUUUUAGGUUGAACACCAGAAGUAUGGGCCUCCUCAAUACGUCUGGUAAGCAAUGAUAUUCCGUAAUGUGAGGCACUUGAAGCAGUGUAAUAUGAAGUCAUCGUAAGUUGAGUAAACCUUGGAAGUGCAUAUCCUGUAAUGCAAAAUCUGGUCAUUUACACAUCGAAAAUUACUUUCAUAAAUAAGAUUAAAGCAUGGGAAAAGAUCUUUGAUUAUUGUCAUUAAAGUACUUUCCAAUGAAUGUAAAAAUGAGUAGCUACUUUAUUUUCCUUUAAAUGGCACUUUCCCAUGAAUUAUUCCUUCAAAAUAUUAUAAAGAGCUAUAAUUUAUUGAUAUACGAAAUUCUAGUUUUGAAAAAUAAAGUGAAGAAAUACUUCUUUGGGACAAGUAGGGGGAGAGGGUCGGGUGGGCCUGCUUUUUCAAUCAAUCUCUGGGAGCUCGGUGCCGAGCACAUCUAAGAGAAAAAUAGAAAAAGGAUUUCAAUUGGCUACCUAUCUUCACCCACCCUAAGCAAGAUCAGUUCAGCAGGCCAAUUCACGUAUCUGCUGCAGAGUACUAGCGUCACCCCUAUGAGCUAUCUUGUCCCCUGGAUACAAUCUAUUGUUCUGAAAAGGUCGAAAUAUACCCUCAUACUAUGUGAAAUUGAGUAUAUUUUUCUUCCGUUUAUACUUCAAUUUACUUGAGCCCUUAGCAUAAAAUACUUGGUCCAAAUACGCCCUUAUUCUGCUCAAUUGCGCAUAGUAUUUGGACCAAGUAUUUGACGGUAAGGGCAUAAGUGAACUAAAGUACUAACGUAGGGCAAAUCUGCUCAAUUUUGCAUAGUAUAAGGGUAUAUUUGGACUUUCUCUGUAUAUUGUUUAAACUUGGUACCAAGAAUAAGUACGACAAAGCGAUAACUAAAAAAACUAAGUCUAGUAAAGUCAGUUAUGUCUACAAUUCUCCAAAUUUAAAAGUAUUUGAAUCUUCGGAUCCUUGAUUGUGCCUAGCAUGACACUAUUGUUCACUGACCAUGCCUCUUAUUCAAGUGCUAAACAUUUCUCAUCGUGACAAGAAGAUGCUCAUAUCUUGAAGAAGACGAACAUCAGCAUAACAGAAAGUUUGCUCAACAAUGAUCAGAAACUAACAAGUUCGAAUAUAUGGCAUACAUUCAACAAAAUACGGGUACAUGAACUGUAGAAGACACAAAAUUUGUGGACUACUACACUUUUGACAUUGAGCUGUAAGAAAUGAAAAUGUGCUUAAAUUUAUUUUAUAUGCAUAGAUUGCAGUUUUUGUGGCUACUUAGUUCACAUGAUAUGAGAAUGAACUUGUCAACCACAUGGCCACGGAAGCUACAUGUGUGAUGUAACCUUUUCUUCUCUUCGAGAAUUAUUUCCAGGUGAGGUUCGUCUACUUUUCCAUCAAGUGUCAUAACACUUCCUUAGUGCUGGUUUAAACAUUAGUCAUGCUCAUCACAACAACAUUUUCAGCGUAGUCCCACAAAGUUGGGUUUGGGAAGGAUAAAGUGUAUGCAAACCUUACCUCUAUCUCAAGGUAGAGAGACUAUUUCCGAUAGACCUUACCUCUACUACAAAGUGGGGUUUAGACAUCAGUCAUUCAAAAAUAAAAUAAAAUGCACCCUGUUGAUCCCACAUUAUAUUAUUACAACAAUUACCUUACUUGAUCGAUUAAGGUACAACUUUAAAAUACGACAGAUCAACACUAGAGGAGUUAUUUCUGAUAUAUGUGAUAGUUAGCUUCUCACUUAAUGGAAUAUGAAAAUACAAGACCUUUCGAGAACGGGUGAUAUCUCUCACCAAAAAUAUGUUAUUUCCAUCGAAAAAGUAACUGGAGUAAGGUUGAACAGGAGCGAAAGUAGUUUUUCGUCAAGUUUAAAAAAUCAAAGUGAUUCAUGUUACCCUUAUAAAAAAAAAAUAAAAAAUCAAAGUGAUUCUACUCUACGUACAACAAGAAAUAGAUCAAAGUAUGUCUUCUUGAUUACAGCAUUCUUUUCAUGAUUCCUUACAGGAUAUAGUUGAAAGCAAUGUUCAUUAGAAGUAGAUAAACAAGGAGUGAAAAUAUCACCAACAAUUAUAUACUUGCGUAAAACAGAAGAUUAUACAUUAGGUUUUCUUAAAUACUCAAAACACUGAUGGGAUAAAGUGAUAUUCAAUUAUAUUAAGAUAGAAAAAGUAAACUAAAACAGAGAUAUCCAAUAUAUAUUCUAGCAAGUAAUUAUUGCAUUAACCUUCAAAUUACCAACUUUUAAGUAUUGGUGCAUAGGGAAGUAUUGUUGCUCAGGAUUACUUAUCAAAAAAAAAGUUAAUAUGAUGAGUGUCAUGGCAACUUUAUCAUCAAUUCAUAACGUAACACAUGCUAAAUUGAAAGAAUAAAGAUUAGAAUGAAAUUAGAAAUUCAUAGAAUUACCUCCAAAUGUUGCGCUAGCUGCAGAGAACACGAGUAGUGGAGGAAGCUGCAAGAACAAAACAAAGGGAAAGGUGAAGCUUUAGAUAACACAUCAAUUGUAUACUCAACUAUAAAUAGAAUACAAUGAAUAGGAAUAAAAGAGGAAGAAAAGAGUCUAAGAUAAGAAAAGUGGAUUAAGUGCCUACCCCUAUAACAAAUGGAAGCCACUUUGGACCCUUCACGUGUCUCUGGACAAAAGGAAUUCCUGAAAAGUGCUAGCAUUAAGACGUUAGCUAUGAAUUCAUUAGAUAAAAGAGAGGGAAGUAUUUAGUUUAAGAUUUCAACCACGAUUUACUACAAGAAGAGUAAUACAAUAAAGAAAAGAAAGAUAAGCACAGAAGAGAUGAUUAAUUAAUCAUGCCUGUAUUGAAACCAUGAAUUGCACUGAGCAGUCCACCAAUUCCAGAGCCAGCCUACACAAAGGUAAAGAAUAUUACUUUAACUAGUUGGUAAAAGCUCUUCAUAUUAUGAUUGCGCUAUAACUCUGUUCACUAUGGCUUUAUUAGCCUUGUCCAAUCGAUUAUAAAAAUUAUGAUUAGUAAGACAAGGGUAAAAUAUUCGACUUCAGGUAAAAGAUAGUCUUUCAGAUUUUCAGGUGGAAGACAUUCAAAAACGAAACCCUUUCAGGGGUCACAAUAGACACUUUCCUCUGCAUUGAACUCAACUAAGCUCAAUUCCAAUUUACUAUGAAACAAAAUUUUGAAGUUUUGGACAUAUACAAAAUAUUCAUAUAACAUUAAGAGCUCUUCGGCAUCAACCACUUUCAGCAUCAACAUGGUGUGAUAUUGUGCUUUGGCCCAAGCCUGCACGAUUUCCCAAAGGGCCUCACGCCAUUAAGACUAUCCCCAUACUUUUUUCCAUGACCAUGGUUUUGGGCUAGGUUACCAAUCUCAAGAAGAGGAUUCAACAACUUAUAAGUAGUUUACGUUUCUUUUUAGCUACUAGUAUGGAUUUUGUUUGUGGACACACAACAAUUUUCCUUAUUAACUAAGUUCCACAUGAUCCAUUACCAUUCAUGGGCUAAUUCGGAGCUGGUCCCUACACCAUCACUACAUCAUCUCCCUACUCAUCUCGCAAUCAUUAAGUUAAACAACUGAAAGAUACACUUAACAUGUGUUAUAUUGUCCGCUUUGGGACAAGCAUGUACAGUUUCCCUAAAGGGCCUCAUACUAUUAAGGGGUCGCUUAGUUGAGAACAAGUUAUACCGAAAUUAAUCAUCGGGAUAUAAGUUAUUUCACCGUGUAUAUGAGAUAAUUUAUUCCAUUACUAAGGUCUAAAUAGUGGGAUAAAUAAUCUCAAGACUGCCUAAUACCUCUAACCAGACGCAAGAUAAAAUAAUCCCGCAUUCAGUCCCUAAGAUUAUUAUACCUUAUCUCUCACACUAAACGACUCCUAAGAUAACCAACACUUAUCAUUAAUAGCUUACUUUUUAUUUUCAAUUACCAAAGUGGGACUUUGAUCACAAAUACCAACACCAUUCAAUCUUAAAAUUUGUGACUACUUAGGUAAAUUUUAAUCAUAACAACAGAUUUGGCUAGUUCGAUCUUGCAGUUCAAAUACCAUUCGAAACAGGUAAUAUAGCAUACUAACCACAGCCGUGAAAUCAUGUAGAACAGGAGUAAUCGCCCAUUCUCCACUUUUCUGCAACCGAAAUCAAACAGAAACAACUCAAAUUACUAGCUAGGCAUUUCAUCAAGCAUGUACUAGGCAAGAUGUGGACAAUUACAAAACACAAAAAAACGAGUAGAACAUGAUACAUACUGAAUUGGAGUUCAAGAGAGAAAGACAACGAGGACAUCUAGCAGAGCCGAGGCCAGGUUUAAUUGUUGGAUCAUGAUGCAGAUUCCCUCUCUUCAAUUUUUCUUCGUAUACCUCUCGUGUUCCCAUGUCAAUUGAGGGAGAAGCAAAAAAAGAGAACCUUUCAGCUCGUGUGUAGAAUACGAUAUAAGAUGAUUUGAGAUUGGGCCUGUAAUGGAUGUUGGACUUGAGUUUUGGAGCAUUAUGGCCCAAAAGUAGGAAAAUAAAAAGGUACAAUUUACAUAAAUCUCACAAGACCUAAGUACAUUAUUUUCCUACUCUUUUCUAAAUUACAUCUCUUCUGUGCUUAUCUUUGUUUUCUUUAUUGUAUUACUCUCCUUAUAGUAAAUCGUGGUUGAAAUCUUAAACUAAAUACUUCCCUAUCUUUUAUUUAAUGAAUUCAUAGCUGAAGUCUUAAUGCUAGUACUUUUCAGGAAUUCCCUUUGCCCAGAGAUGCGUGAAGGGUCCAAAGUGGCUUCCAUUUGUUAUAGGGGUAGGCACUUAAUCCACAUUUCUGAUCUUAAACUCUUUUCUUCCUCUCUAAAUCCUAUUCAUUGUAUUCUUGAUUUGUGUUGUACAGAAAUCUAUGUAUAGUUGAGUAUACAAUUGAUGUGUUAUCUAAAGCUUCACCUUUCCCUUUGUUUUGUUCUUGUAGCUUCCUCCACUACUCAUGUUCUCUGCAGCUAGCGCAACAUUUGGGGGGUAAUUCUAUGAAUUUCUUAUUUCAUUCUAAUCUUUAUUCUUUCAAUUUAGCAUGUGUUACGUUAUGAAUUGAUGAUAAAGUUGUCAUGACACUCGACAUAUUAACUUUUUUUUUUUGAUAAGUAACCCUCAGCAACAAUACUUCCCUAUGCACCAAUACUUAAAAGUAGGUAAUUUGAAGGUUAAUGCAAUAAUUACUUGCUAGGAUAUAUAUUGAGCAUCUCUGUUUUAGUUUACUUUCUCUAUCUUAAUAUAAUUGGAUAUCACUUUAUCCCAUCAGUAUUUUGAGUAUUUAAGAAAACCUAAUGUAUAAUCUUUCGUUUUACGCAAGUAUAUAAUUGUUGGUUAUAUUUUCACUCCCUGCUUAUCUACUUCUAAUGAACAUUGCUUUCAACUAUAUCCUUUAAGGAACCAAAAUUUAUAAUGGAUGUGAAAAGAAUGUUGUAAUAAAAAAGACAUACAUUGAUAUGUUUCUUGUUGUACAUAGAGUAGAAUCUCUUUGAUUCUUUAAACUUGACGAAAAACUGCUUUCGCACUUGUUCAAACUUACUCCAGUUACUUUUUUGAUGGAAAUAACAUAUUUUUGGUGAGAGAUAUCACUAGUUCUCGAAAGGUCUUGUAUUUUCAUGUUCCAUUAAGUGAGAAGCUAACUAUCACAUAUAUCAGAAAUAACUCUAGUGUUGAUCUGUCGUAUUUUAAAGUUGUACCUUAAUCGACCAAGUAAGAUAAUUGUUGUAAUAAUAUAAUGUGGGAUCAACAGGGUGCAUUUUAUAUUAUUUUUGAAUGACUGAUGUCUAAACCCCACUUUGUAGUAGAGGUAAGGUCUAUCGAAAAUAGUCUCUCUACCUUGAGAUAGGGGUAAGGUUUGCAUACACUUUAUCCUUCCCAAACCCAACUUUGUGGGACUACACUGAAAAUGUUGUUGUGAUGAGCAUGACUGAUGUUUAAACCAGCACUAAGGAAGUGCUAUGACACUUGAUGGAAAAGUAGACGAACCUCACCUGGAAAUAAUUCUCGAAGAGAAGAAAAGGUUACAUCACACAUGUAGCUUCCGUGGCCAUGUGGUUGACAAGUUCAUUCUCAUAUCAUGUGAACUAAGUAGCCACAAAAACUGCAAUCUAUGCAUAUAAAAUAAAUUUAAGCACAUUUUCAUUUCUUACAGCUCAAUGUCAAAAGUGUAGUAGUCCACAAAUUUUGUGUCUUCUACAGUUCAUGUACCCGUAUUUUUUCUUAUAAGAAAAUUUCACAUGUUCUGGUACCCGUAUCUUGUUGAAUGUAUGCCAUAUAUUCGAACUUGUUAGUUUCAGAUCAUGGUUGAGCAAACUUUCUGUUAUGCUAAGGUUAAUUGUCUUCUUCAAGAUAUGAGCAUCUUCUUGUCACGAUAAGAAAUGUUGAGCACUUGAAUAAGAGGCGUGGUCAGUGAACAGUAGUGUCAUGCCAGGCACAAUCAAGGAUCCGAAGAUUCAAAUACUUCUAAAUUUGGAGAAUUGUAGACAUAAUUGACUUUACUAGACUUAAUUUUUUUAGUUAUUGCUUUGUCGUACUUAUUCUUGGUACCAAGUUUAAAAAAUAUACAGAGAAGGUCCAAAUAUACCCUUAUACUAUGCAAAAUUGAGCAGAUUUGCCCUACGUUAGUACUUUAGUUCACUUAUGCCCUUACCGUCAAAUAUUUGGUCCAAAUACUAUGCGCAAUUGAGUAGAAUAAGAGCGUAUUUGGACCAAGUACUUGAUGCUAAGGGCUCAAGUAAAUUGAAGUAUAAACAGAGGAAAAAUAUGCUCAAUUUCACAUAGUAUGAGGGUAUAUUUGGACCUUUCCAGAACAAUAGAUUGUAUUCAGGGGACAAGUUAGCUCAUAAGGCUAACGCUAGUACUCUGCAGUAGAUGCGUGAAUUGGCCUGCUGAACUGAUCUUGCUUAGGGUGGGUAAAGAAGGGUAUCGAAUUGAAAUCCAUGCACUUCUUUUUCUAUUUUUCUCUUAGAUGUGCUCGGCACCAAGCGCCAAGAGAUUGAUUGAUUGAAAAGGCAGGCCCACCUAACCCUCUCCCCCUACUUGUCCCAAAGAAGUAUUUCUUCACUUUAUUUUUCUAAACUAGAAUUUCGUAUAUCAAUAAAUUAGGUUGUUUACAAUAUUUUGAAGGAAUAAUUCAUUGAAAGUGUCAUUUAAAGGAAAAUAAAGUAGCCACUCAUUUUUACAUUCACUGGAAAGUACUUUAAUGACAAUAAUCAAAGAUCUUUUCCCAUGCUUUAAUCUUAUUUAUGAAAGUAAUUUUUGAUGUGUAAAUGACCAAAUUUUACAUUACAGGAUAUGCACUUCCAAGGUUUACUCAACUUACGAUGACUUCAUAUUACACUUCUUCAAGUGCCUCACAUUACGGAAUAUCAUUGCUUACCAGACGUAUUGAGGAGGCCCAUCCUUCUGGUAUUCAACCUAAAAGACUCAGCUGAUUGACUUGAGGUGCACAAAAUCCGAGCCAAACUUUACUUCAAAUUUUGCAACGAAUUAUAUAUAGUUGGAGCAAUUGUCAAUUCAAAAGAUGCAUGUUCAUUGCUUUGGGGACUUCUCAUUUGAUAAAAUAUAUAGUUUUUACUUUGUAAUAAUAGGAAUGUUUGAACUUGGAAGAAAACACUUGAGCUUCUGUCAAAACUGGAUCUUGUAUCUAAGUGCUUUGUAUUAGAACAAAAUGUCUUGUCAUUGUUUGUAAAUUUGUACAUCCUCAUCGGUACUAACUGCGACUAAAGAGCCCUUUAAUUUCUUUUUUAGGUUGAGAGUUUUCUACCCUACAAAGGUACGGGUAAGAUGUGCAUACAUCCUACCUUCAGACUUGACUUGUGGAAUUACAAUAGGUAUGUUGUUGUUGUAGUCACUUCUCCCUUACUAACUUUAUAUCUCCGAAGGCUGCAGGAGUGUUGGGUUAAAGAGAGAAUUUUAUAGCCUGACUUGCACAACAUGUUUUGGACCAAAUAUUUGACGCUAAGGGCAUUAGUGAUUUGAAGUAUUAACGGAGGGAAAAUAUGCUUAAUUUUGCAUAGUAUGAGGGUAUAUUUGGACAUUUCUCGAACAAUAUAUUGUAUCCCGAGGACAAGUUUGCGUUAGUACUACGCAGAAGAUGCAUGAACUAAUCUUGCUUAGGGCGGGUGAAGAAGGGUAUACAAUUGAAAUCUAUGCACUUUUUUUUCUUUCUAUUUUUCGCUUAGAUGUGUUUGACAUACUUGUAUCUUAUUUAUCAAAGUAAUUUUCAAUGGGUGAAUAACCAUAUUCCUGGGUAAUUUUACAUAUGCACUUCCCAGGUUUACUCAACUUACAAUGACUUCGUAUUAUAAUGUUUCAAAUGCAUCACAUUCAGAGACGUAUUCACAAUUUCAGAAGGAUGGUGUAUUAUUAUGAAAAGAUGCAUCUAAGAUAUAAAUUUAUUCGUUUUGAUCUUUAAGUUCUUAACAUUGAAUUGUUAAAUUUUAAAAAUAUAGAUUCAAAAUACAUAAUGCAAUAGCUCGCAAACCACACAGGUCAACCCACACUAGGCAAGUGUGAGGUCGACCCAGAAGGCAAACCCACUGGCAAGUGGUAUUGAACUUGAGACCUCCAACUUUUGGGACUUGCAAAACAUACAUCUUUUUGUGUUGGUUACAUAAAUUUGCAGUAUCCAGAUACAUAAAACUAGGAUUUCCUAAAUAACAUGAGGCACAAGUCUAGCUAAACUAGAAGCAACCUAUAUCAAGACUUUUCAGAUCCAAAUUACUCAUAUAUGGCUCUAAUAUACAAUAUUAGAUCAUAAAGCAAGGUCAAAAACAUUGAGAACAAAUCCUCUACAAGACGGUGUUAAAAUCUAAGAUCCAGAUUAGUAGAUCUAGUUCCUUAAUUCCCUAUGAAAAAAGAAGAAAGAGACAACGUCGCCUUGAUAGUCUAGGGCCCUUAUGCAGACCACAUAGUAACAUCAGUCACAACUCAACCAGAUCUUAUUAACAACUUCAUAUCAAACAUCAAAUAAACAGAAAUCUGCGCAAAAUUCCAUUAUCGUAAAACAAAAGUGGAAUCAUCAACAAGCGCCAAUCAUCCAAGAAAGAUUCACUAAACAGAAUGCUAAAACAAAACUACUCUAACCUCAAUAUUACAACUUACUAUAAAAUUUUAACACAAAAUAUAGCAAAGAGCACAGAAACUACAAAAAAAAAUUAGAAAACUGAAAAAGGAUAGAAGAUUACCGGUGAGGAUAUCCUGAUAAACCAACAUGGUUAACAUGGUUGAAGAGUAGCCUUUUGCUUUCUCUCUCUAAAAGGGAGGAUUAAUAGUUAGAGAGAGGAAGAAAACGACGGACUAGUGAGGGCUCGAGAAGGAGGGUUUUGGGUGGUGUACGGUAUCUUUAUAGCUGGAGCACUUGGUAAAUUGACCAAAUAAACCCGACUUUAAUCAGGAAUUACGUGAUUGCCUAUCCCAAUUUGAGUAGGGUUCUGAAUGUCGUCGCAGUCUGCACCAUGUCACAACAGGAGCACAGGCCAUUUUACACUACUGCCCCCACCCCCUCCCCCCACACACAACCAUUUUCUAAUUAUUGUGACAGUUUUUUAGUAAAUUAAUUGAUUAGAAAAUGAAUGAUUUUUUAAAAAUUAUAAAAUGUGGCAUUUGUUUCAGAGGAUUAAAGUUGAAAGUGUGUUAAGAGCGCAAGCAAUAAUUUCAAGUUUUGAAUAUGAAGAAAAUUAUUAGCAAAAAAAUGCUUUUCCUGAUCGGAUUUUCACGGCGCAAAUCCAAAAAUUCUUAAAUUCUUAGAUACGUCUUACACGACACAAAUAUAAAUUAAUCAAACUUCAAUACAAGUAGUGGACACCGAUACGAAAGUAAAAAGAAAAGAAAGACUGUGCCCAAAGUUAAUAGUGACACGCUUGUUUAAUCUUUGAAUGCUAGUAUAUAAUUAAUAUGAUGGAACAAGAACAAUUUGAUUCCUUCUUCAAAAGGUAUAUUUAUUUUCGUUCUUUUAAAAGAAUCUUCUAUCCAGUAUUGCUACCUUGAUAUAUAAGUCCAUCUUACUUAAAAAUUCAAUAUUACAAUAUGACAGUUAUUCGAAGAAAUUUUUCCCGAAAAAACAGAUUUCUUUCAUUACACAUGCAUAACACCACCACCAAUAUACCCUUCGGGGUGGCCCAAUGGUUUGGGCUUGUGACUUCCAUAUUGGAGGUCUCAAGUUCGAAACUCUGCCAGCGAAAGCAAGGGGUUUGUCUUAUGGGUCGAGCUCGUCGCACCGGGCUUGCCUAGUACGGGUUACAUCUCUUAUGUGAUUUGCGAGCUAUUGCAUAGGAGCGGGGGUUUUACCCUGUGCGCACCCAAAAGGAUAGUGGCUGCGGAUUUCCCUUGUCAUAAAAAAAAAAAAAAAAAAAAACACAACCACCAAUAUCACUAAUAAUCAUAUUGCAAAAUUGAUAUUGCGGGAAGUUGUGCGCUUAAAUUAGUAUACCUGCCUUCUUGUCAAGUUAUGAUACUACAGUUGAUGAUUUUUUGCCUUAUUUUCGAUAGAUUAAUAAUAAUUGGUAAUAUUGCAUUUCAAUUAAGAAAAACCAAAGAAUUAGGGGUUAGUUUGGUCUGUGUGACCUCCUUUACCAAUCUCCUAUAGAGGUUAGGUGGUCAAUACACCGGUCUGAGUCCCUCUUAAUAAAAUGAGGUAUGGGAACCAGCCUCUUCGAAGAUUGCUGGUAUCACUGGACCAAUUUGAUGAAUUUUCCUAUCAAGUUCAAGGUGUGCCACAACACAAGAAGCAAGGUUGGCGCAGCAACUAAGUCAUCCCCAGUCACAAGCACAUAUAAGACGGAUCUCAUUUUGGGCAGCUAUUGUCCAAAACUAAAGCUAAAAGUUCCAAUUGACAAAGUCUCAAUUGCCAAUAUAGCUUAGGUCAUUAAAGUCAUACAACAGGAAAGUAUACAAAUGAACAAAUUCAAGAAGAGAUCCACAUACUACCAGACACCUCUUAAUAUCAGUAAUCAACAAGCAAGAGUUUUGCAGAGGCUAAAAUGUGCAAAGCUUCACCGAGGUGUCUAGUAGCAGCGAAAGCCCAAAAGGCUGGGCUUCCCCUUUUACCAGACACACCCUUUCGACCAAACACAUGACACAACCUAACACACAAAAUCCACUCAACCAUGAUAAGAAAAACAUCUCUUUAUAUUCUUGAUAAUGCUUUUUUAGGGGAAAAGAACUACAAUCAACUUAAAUACCUUUGCGCUUAACUCACAUCCAUACACCUUCUCCAAAAGAAUAAGUUAUAUCUAUCUAGUCAAAAUUAAAGCCUUUAGCACAGAUCGUUCUAUGGAUCUAAAAUUAACUCAUAAUCCAUGUUUUCAAGUAUACAAAUAUAUAUAUAUAUAUAUAUAUAUAUAUAUAGAUCUAAACCAACUCAUAAUCCAUACUUUUAUGAACACAAAUAUACAUAGAUCUAAAACCAACUCAUAAUCAUGCUUUUAAAGCACACAAAUAUACAUAGAUCUAACCGAAUUAUUGAAAAUUUACAAUUAUAGCCCUGAACGAUCUAACCGAAAUUCAUGUUUUCAGCUUAGGUACAUCUAUAUCUCUCAAAAAACUGUAAAUUCAUUAUUUUCACACAAAAAAUGCAUAGAUCUAAACUAAAAUCCAGUAUUUCAACUACAUAAAACCAAACCAAACCAAAUAAAGCAUCAAUUACAUCAAAAAGCUACCUGAUAGUCGGAUAAUUCAAAUUCGGAAAUAAACCAAAACGGUCAACGCCUAAAAAGCUGCACCAAUUCUCGCAAAGCUGUAUAAAAAAUCUACGAGUCAAAACCUAAAAGCUGUAUAUACACACACCCAAAAAGAAUAAAAAAGCAAAACUAAAAGUGAGAAGAGAAUUCGGCGUACCUGAUUUAUAAGUACAGAGACGAAACGGUAAAGAGAAGAGUUGUGGAAAUUUCGCAAUACGCGUUGUAGAAAUAUGGAGAAGAUUGGGUUUUGUUUUUAUAUGGACGAUAGCGUCAAUUUACCUAAUUGGCCGUUUGAUUUUAAUUAUACCACGUGUGCACAAUCGAGUGACACGCCUUUUUUUUUUUAGUGAAAUAUACUUAGGAGAAUUAUUGGAGUGUAGGACCCACUUGAAUAAGAAAUAUCAUUAUACAUUUGUAAUUAUGUGAAAUGGUCCGAACUUAUCUUUAAAAAAAUGUGAAAUACUUUCUAUGGUCACUGGUCAGAAUUUAAGUUUGCGGAAAAUAUUAUAAGUUUUAUUUUUUUUUGUAUAAAUAUGAUAAAAUUUACAUUUAUAAUCUAGUUCUUCUAGAUAAAUCGCAAUUAUAAUAAUUAUAUUUUCGCUCUUAAAAAUAGUAUGUGGGAACUGUUGUUGUUCUCUAUGCGCUCCCUUUUAAGAUGCUCACUAAAAGAAACACUAAGAGAUAAGAUUCAAAAACACACCUAAAUUAUAUUUAUUUUCUGAGUUUCAUACCUAAACUAUUGAAAGUGUGAGUUUCAUACAUAAACUAUCACUUAUUAAUUUGAGAUGAGAAACACACCUCUCUCUCUUUUAUAUCACUCUCAUCAUGGUGUGUAAUAUACUCUCUCUUUUAUUUUAAAAAACUAUCAUAUCACACUCCACAUGGACAAAAUAUUUUACUUUGACAAAAAAUAAAUAAAUUAUUAGUAUUAGUUAAAAUUAAAGAUUAUAAUUAUUAUCCCAAAAUAAUAAUAUUUUUUAUAAAAUAAAAAAGUAAAAUAUUUUUCUUACCCCAGUCCAUUCACUUCCUCCCCCCCCCCCCCGGCACCCUUUUUUUAGUUUUUUUUUGUUUAAAUAUCUUUUAUAAAAGUAUUUAAUUUUUUUACUUCAUCCCCCUUCCCCUCCAAUACUAAUUUAGAUAUUUUAUUUUAAAAAAAAUAAUUCUAUCCACUAGUCACAUAACCCUCCGCUUCUUUCUCGUUUUGUGUUAUAUAUAUAAUAUUUGUCACUUGCCGCCGCAAGACUUUUUUAAAAUAAAUUUUGUAUUUAUGUUAUAUAUGGUACACAAGUAAAAAAAAUAAAUCCUAGAAAUAUAUGUACAUAUAUAACACAAAACGAGAAAAAUGUAAAAUAAAUAAAUAAAUCAGAAGUGGAGAGUUAAAUAGGAUGGGGUAGCAUAUUUGUUAAAAUAAAAUAAUAUAAUUUUUUUGGGGGAAUGAGUGAGUGUUUUUUUUUUGGGAAGGGGUAGGUGAGGGAGGGUGAAGUAAAAAAUAUAUUAAUAGUUUAUUAUUUAAUUUUUGUUAAGGUGGAAUAUUUUAUCCACAUGGAAUGUCAUAUGUCAAGGUUUUUUCAAAUAAAAGAGAGAGUACAUUACACACACCACUGAGGUGUGUUUCCUAAACUAAAAAGUGAUAGUUUAGGUAUGAAACUCACACUCUCGAUAGUUUAGGUAUGAAACUCAAAAAAAUGGGAUAGUUUAGAUGCAUUUUUGACACUUAUCUCAAGCACUAAUAAUAUUUUUACUCAAAGUUAUCUAUGUAAUUAGAUAUUUCCUUCGCAUAUAAUUCACUUUUCUCAAUUAUUAGCUUCGUUGGAAGAUCAUCUAUAACACCUCACAACUAGAAAGAACUAGAAGGAAGUUUAAAAUCUGGAAAUAGUUAUUUUUGGGAAGAAUUUAAAAAUCUGGAAAUUUGGUAAAGGUAUUAAAGUGAGUUUUUGGUCAACUUCAAAUGACCAUAAUUAGGGCUGGGCAUUCGGUAAUUCGGUUCGGUUUUGAUUUUUUUUUUUCGGUUUUCGGUUCUUGUACCACACGUACCGAACACCGAACCGAAUUAUUUCGGUUCGGUUCGGUUUUUAUUAAUUCGGUUUGGUUUUUUUUAGGACCUGUUUGGUGAGCUUUUAAAAUUUAAAAUUUUGUAAUUUUUUUGUUUGAUUUUUCAGCUUAAUGGGCAAAAAAUAAGUGGUCCUUAGAUUAAUUAAAUUAGUAGUACAUCUUUUUUGUGGUGAUGCCUGAGUGUUGGUCGACUGGCGGCUGCUGCGUGCUGCCAGUCUGCUGCAUGCUACCGCUGAGCUGCUGCGUGUUGCGUGCUGGACUGUUGCGUGCUGCCUGCCGCUGAUCGGCCGGUCGACGCCGGAGCCCGGAAGUGGAAACUGGAAAGUGGGAAACUGAACGAUGUGCGGGCUGCGGCAAAUUAGAAAAGUUUGAACUUUGAAAAGUGCUCUGUCUCUUUGACCUAAUUUACCUAUAAAAUAUAAAUUAUUAAAUUAUAAUAUUCAUUAUUUAAUAUUAAUAUAUAUUAUAAUAUAAUAUAAUAUUAUUUCGGUAAACCAAAAAACCGAAUAAUACAAAAAUUACAUACCGAAAAUCGAACCGAAAUACCGAAAAAUACAAAAAUAUAUACCGAAAACCGAAAUACCGAAACCGAAAUACCGAAAUAAUUCGGUUCGGUUCGGUUUUUCGAUUUUUCGGUGUUUAUGCCCAGCCCUAGCCAUAAUUCCUAGUUCAGGAUGAGUUAGGUGUGAUUCCAGAUAUGGUUGGAAAGCCCUUGGAAUGAUCUUUCCAACUCUGCCAAAUUUGCGUGAUUCCGAGUUCGUAUGAGUGAAGUACGCCCAUUGGAAGUUGGGUUGUUCAAAUAAGGAAAUGUCCAAUUUGGAUUUUUGAAAGGUAUUUCAGUCUUUUCCUUAUCCAAGUAAUUAAAUUCGUUUUAGUGAAUUAAUUAAGGGUCUAAACUGAACUUGGUUAGUUUUACGCUUUUGGAAAAGAGUUAGGGUUUUAGAGAAGACGAAACAAGAGGAGAAAAGAAAAGGAGAAGCAAGGAAAUCGUCAAGUUCGUCGAGUUUAGCUUGUGGAUUUCAUCGAGGGUGAUCCCUACAAGGUAUGUGAGAUCACAUAGCGUUGGGUUAAUUCGCCCACGCGCCAAUCAUGAUUUAUUUUAGCGAAUUUAAGUUCUUGAAAGCUUAGAAAUUGAGUUCUUGAAUGGGUUUGUUGAAGUUUCAUUAGAUUCUUGUUUCGUUGAAUUCGUUGAGGAGUUGUUUGAUCAUAAUCUGUGAUUUUAGGUUCGAUUUUGAGUAGAAUCUGAUGUACUUUGAACAUUUAAUCGAUUAUAAGUGUUGGGUAAAAGAACCCACAGAGUUUAGAGGGUUUAGAAUUGAAAAACGAAGAAGAAAUUUCGUCAGUCGAAAUUUGGCACUACCUCCGCGUCUCGGAGCUACCUACCAGAUUUGGGAAAAUUCGGUUAGCAUCGCGGAGCGGUCACAGACCGUUCUGCCUCAAAAGCAGUUUUUGAAACUACAUUGUAAAAGCUUCUCCGCGUCGCGGACCUACCCUCAAAUAUUGAUUUUCGGUUUUUUCUCAUGUUUAGCUAUCUAAAAUCAUUCCUAAACAUCAUGUGAUCUUUCCAAUCACAAAUCAAAAUCCUUGAAUCCAUAAUUCAAUUCAAGGACCAGUUAAGAGUCAAGUCAAGAGCAGUUAAGAUCAAAGUCAAUAGAAGUUCUUAGAGUCUUCCAAAAGUCUUUUCCAAAUGUUUUAACUUUUUUUUAAGACUUAAAGUUCAAGUUGAGUAAAGAGUAAAGUUUGAAGUCCAUUUCUUCAAAAGUAUAUGGGAACUAUGUAUUCCCAAAGGGUUUAAAAUGUUUUCACAUUUAAACAAGAAAGGAAACCUCGAUUUCCAAAGGGCCUUCGGGUUAGUUUUCAGAAAAGAGUAAUCGCUUUCUAAAUGAAGCGCAUAGACUAGUGGAUCCACUUAGUAGUUCAGGUCCUAUAUCUGUGGCAAGGUAUAGGAUGUGUUGCAGCGUGAGGGAGAUCGAUGUAUCAUCACAAUAGCUCUUAUGUGAUGGUUGUUGGUUAGAGAAACUCCCACAUCAGUACUUUGUAUUUUUAUAUACAUCAGUUUAUUUGUAUUUUUACAUACAUCUCAGAGUUAUUUGUAUCUUUGCAUACACACAGAGUUGACAUCCUGUUUUAAAUAGCUUUUCUUUAUAUUGCACUUGUUUUAAACUGCUUUAUAUUGAAAUGAGUUCAGUUAUGUUGAGUUGAGUUGAGCCAGGUAAGUUCUUCAGUUCCUUUCAGAUUCUUUUCAAGCCUAUGUUGUGUUUAGCAUUUCAACUCGCAUACUCGUACAUUCAAUGUAUUGAUGCCAGUUGGUCUACAUCGUAUUAUGAUGCAGAUAUAGGUAACUAGGAUUGGCAUCCGGCUCAUCGUUGAUCCAGUUGAGCACUUUAGAGUCAGUGGUGAGCCUCAUUGCAUUCCGGAGGACUCCUUUAUUGCUUUUAGUUCUUUGUAGUAUUUCAUUUGUUAGGAUGAUCGGGGGUCCUAUCCUGACAUCCAUCUCCAUUGUUUUAGAGGCUUCAUAGACAGUCAGAUGUUAGUUCUUUAGUCUUUUCAUUGUCAUUUUUCCAUGUUGAGACUUGAGUUUGCCUUAAUAGCUAGUUGAAUGUUCUUUUAUAACAUUCUAGUUUACUAUAUAAACUUAUUUUGUUGAGUUUAAGUCUUCCGCUGAGUAAGUAAGCCAGGUCAAGGGUUCGCUUGGAGCCAGCAAUGGUUCUCGAGUGCCAGUCACGUCUGGGGUGUAGGCUCGGGGCGUGACAUUAUCAACUUUUGACCACUAUAAUCUUACGUUAAUCACUAAAAUACUAUCAUAAAUUAUUUAAAAGAUGAAUUGUGUAUCUAUGUAUUUGUGUUUUGCAUUGAUAGAUUAAUGUGGGAUACACAAUAUAUUAAUGUGGGAUACACAAUAUGGAUAUUAACAUUUUGAGAAAGUUUGAUGAUGGAAUUGUGAUGAAAAAGUUUCAAUUUGUGUGAAAAUUAAAUAUAUUGAUACAAUUGAUUGUUGUUUAAAAUUUAUUUAAAUUGAUUUGAGGUUUGAGAGUAGUCGUUAUUAUUAUCUUUGGACAAAUUCAAAUUAUUUUACAUAGUUUAAUUUGAUUAUUUUUCUUGUAAAGAAAAAGUCUCACUUAUGUGUUCCCAAACCAUUGAUAUAGUCAGACAAAUUUAACUAUCUUGGUAAUGAUAAAAUAGUUAUAACUCAACUGUUAGAACGAAUUUAAAUCAUUUUACAAAAAUCAACCAUAAUUUUGAUUAUUUUCUUGGAUCCUAAUUUUUUUUUUAUCCCUAAAUAAUGAUUUAACUAAACAAAAUUCGUACUCAUGCAUGCUCUUAUAACAGUAUUUUUUAAAUUAAUUUUAAGUAAAAUUUGAGCGCAAGUUAAAUAUAUAAGAAAAUUAGUAUUCUAAAAUACCUUUUAUGUUAUACUCAAUUAAUCAUCAAACGGUUUCUUAAUUGGGUAAAAGCAAUUACAAAAAAAUAAUAUUAUGGGUUUGUGUUUGAAAUUCUAUGGCAGUCAUAUAAUUUCUAGAUUUCUCUUGUUAUUGUUUCUUCUUGUAGAUUUUAUCGUGCUCUUCUUAUUAAUUGUUAUACUUUCUUCAUUAUUUCUUGUUCGUUUACUUGAGUUUGAUGUAUUUGAGCCGAACAGUCUCUCUACCUCCACAAGAUAGUGAUAAAGUCUACGUAUACUUUACCUUCUCCAGAGUCCAGACCCCACUUGGUGAAUUUGAGUAGUAUGUUAUUGUUGUUGUAUACUUAUUUAGUUGAGUUUUAGAAGAAGAAAAAAUUCAAAAUUAUUAGACUGAGAUGAUUAAACUCACAGGUUAUAUAAUAUGAACUUCCUCAAUAUUUAUAUAAAGUCACACACAAACGUCGGAAUUCAACGUUCGGAACGUUUAGGUAUUUGAAAAAUACCAAACAUAUAUUUUCACUUCAAAUCUAUUUAUAUAUAAUAGGAGAAGAAAAAGUGUCACAUGUCAGCAGCACAAAUUUUCUCCAUUUUAGUUUUAAAAUUUUAAAAAUAAUUUAAUCUAUAUUAGUUAGUAACUUUCAAUUUAAAUUUUAAAAUUUUUAAAAAUCAAUAUCCAUAUAUAUUUAAAUGAAUUCUUUUUAAAAUUAGAAAGUUACCACAUUUAAUAUAAAUCUUCUCUAUUAUUUUUAUUUCUUUAAGAAAUAUCUAAUUCUACAUGUGGCUAUUGUUUAAAUUUUUUUUGGACUCAUAUUUUUAUUCUAAUCAGAACAUUUAUUUUUAUCCCAUUUAUUUUUUAGUAAUGGGGUAAGUGUCGUGUAGAAAGUUUUCUUUAACUUAUUUUUUUUUCUUUUUAAUUACGGAAUAGUAAGUGGGGUAAUGGGGUAAGUAUCGUGUAGUUUAGUUUAGUUUUCAUUCACUUAUUUUUUUUAUUACUAAAUAAAAUAUAUACGAAACUUUGAAUACUUAGAAUUAAUUUUAUUUUAUUUUAAAAUAGGAAAUUAAAUCAAACAGACUAAUAUAAAUUAAAACACGAGGAAUAUAUUUUUUUCAAACAAAAUUUCUCCAUUUUUAUUUUUAAAAAUUUAAAAUAAUUUAAAUCUAUAUCAGUUUGUAAUUUUAAAUUUAAAUUUUAAAUUUUUUUGGACUCAUAUUUUUAUUCUAAUCAUGUGUGGUACUUUAAUUUUAUCUGUUUCUCUUUGCUCAGAAAAUUUGGGAAUAAUUCUUACACUAAAAGAAAAAAAAGAGAAAAAGAGAAAAAGAUUAUAUCAAAAAAAUUCGAGAAUUUUCUUUAAACAUGUUUUUGUUCAAUCAUUAGUCACUUAUAGGAAACUAGACGAUGGGUGCCCGUGUAAGCAUAUGUUGUUUAUAUAUUACAUUUGUUAUUACACUACUUAUGCGUGGUUAUGCUAUGUUUUACACUUUGUACAGAAAAAGGUAAAAAUAAAUGUUGGUGGCAAGUCAAGUUGAUGCUUGGUAGUUGACAAAAUAUCUACAAGUACAAAGAGAAGUGUUUUAGAUUGUGGAGGUAUAACUUAGUAAGAAUGGAGCUAGUACGGCCUGAUUGUGACGUACCUUGUUGAAACUGUGGAUGUCUUCCCUUUUUUUUUAGUAGAUUUACAUAGAAGGCAGUGCAUAGGCAAAAGCAUAUAAAACUGAGAUUUACCUUGUUGCAGAAACAAACCAGGUGUGAGAUUUUUACUAAGAUUUACUCCCUCUGUCCACUUUUAUUUGUCAUGUUGUGUUUUUCGAUAGUCAAUUUGACUAAUUAAAGUUAAAUUAGAUUACGUUAAUUCGAUAUUUUUUUUUAAAAAAAAUUAGAUAUUCAAAAACUAUACAAAAAGUACUAUAAGUUGCAAUUUUUUGCAUAUCAAUAUGAUGAAAAUAUACAUCGUAAAAUGUUGGUCAAAGUUCUUAUUGUUUGACUCUAAAAAAGGAAACUAUGACAAUUAAUUGUGGACGGAGGGAGUAACAUACAUUAGUAAAAAUCUAAUCUUGGUUCAUAUAAAUGAACUGAUCAUCAGAUUAUAUAAAUAAAAGUUGAACCUUUAGCAGAUAUAAAUCACAUUACUCAUUGGUCGAUAUCGAGCUUUUCAGCAAAAAGAAAUGCAAGAUAAUCACUAAAUCAAGCAAAAACAUCUGCUCACAGAAACUUAACAGGCAAAUAUAACUUCCUCUAGUAGUCUAGCACAUCAGCAACAACAACAACAUAUUUAGUAUAACCCAGCAAGUGGAGUUUGAAUCACCCCUAUCUUACGAAAGCAGAGAGAAUAAACCUAGCAUAGCAAUCUCAAAAAAAUCCAGCACACAAAUUCCAAUUUCACCUACCACCCGAAACCACAACUUGAGCCAUCCCUUGAUUUGAAGAUUGAACAUGCAUUAGCAAAAAUCCAAUCUUGUUGCUGUUAAUUUACUGAUUAGCAGAUUAUGUAAAUAAAAUUGGAACUUUAGCAAACAUAAAUCUAGCAAAUUUUUUAGCAAAUAUAAAUUACAUCAUUUAUUGAUUGCUUUCGAGCUUUUCAGUAAAAAGAAAUCCAAAAUAAUCACUAAAUAAAGCCAUUUACCUAGCACAACAACAACAAACCUAGUAUAGCAAUCCCUGAAAAAACUCAACACAAAAAUUUCAACUUUACCUGUUGGCAUGCACAACUACAAAUGGAUAAUGGGCUAUUGUCUAGAGAGUUAUGAGUAGAGUAUAUGUAUCUUGUUGUACUCAACAAGGAAAUGGAUUUUGCUUUAGCCAUGUUCUACUGCAUUCGCAAGUGUAAAUUCUACAGAGAAGUUAAAGGAAAACUAAAGUGUUGAAGAUAAUGAUGGCUUCAUGAUGAAGUCAUCGAAAAAGCCUUUCCAUAACAUUAGGCUAUGACUUUGUUUAUUACAGACAUCAUUGUAAUGUUCUUUAGCUACCAGAUUGUAAAGCCUCAAUUUGGAUAUUUCAGGAUAGCAACAUGACUCAACUUUUAGUUAAAAGUUGGAAGAGACAAAGUAAAGCUGAACUUUUUUUCAUUUUAAUCACAUGCUCACAGUUUAAAAAUAAACAUUACGGAUAAAUUGACAAAUUGUGCAUUAAUUUGUAUAUUAUGUCAAAAUCUGAAAGACGAUGGAACAUUAUGUACAUAAGAUCAAUUCUAUUUUAAAAUAAAUGUUUAUGUCGAAUGCGACUUCUUCUAAGGCUAAAAAAAGUUGAAAGAUAUAAAGAUUAAUUAUAACAUGUUGUAAAAAACAUAUUGGACAAAAGUUUUAUUUGAAUGUGUUCUUGGGGCACUAUUGAUGUAAAUAUUACGAAUGUGAAGGAUUAGGAUAUCAGGACAAAAAACUUAGAUCAACAUUCUCUUAUGUGUCAAUCACUAAUGCAUUUAAGGCUUUUAGUCAAGAACUUUCUAUAGACUUUUUAUAUCGGUUGGAAUCUUGAUGAACAAUGUCACUCACAAGUAUUGAUAGAGAUGAAAAAUCAUUCUGUAUGGGCAAACAUAAUUUUUUCUUUUAAGGCUAGAAAAUUAUUGAAAAAUGUGCAUGCUGUAAAAAGAUAUAUCGAUUAAGUAUCCUUUGAUCGUAUUCAUUAAGUACAAUUAAAUGUAAAUAUCACGAACGUGAAGCAUAAAAUAUCAAGUCAAAAAACUUGGGUCACCAUUCUCUUAUGUGUCAAGUGCUAGCUCAUCUAAGAUCUUUUACCAUCUAGAAGGUCGAUAUUAAUGAAUAUAAAUAAAUUAAAACGUCUUGUCAGUACACAUAUAAUUAAGUCCUAGAGAGGGAUGCCAACCAACUUGCAUCCAUUAGGGCAUCUCCAACCCAACACUCUAUUUUACUCUUCAAAUAUAGAUUUUUCUAUUUUUUCAUAUAAUCAACUCCAAUUCAAUUCUCUAUUUUACUCUCUAAAAAGAAUUUUUUUCCUCUCUCCUCAAUAUUAUAUUAUUAUUUCUAUUUCAUUAUUAUUUUCUUAUUUCAUAAUAUAAAUCCUUUAUUUAUUUUUCUCAAUAAUUACCUUAUAUAAUUUUCAUGUGAUAUAAAAUUUUAUUUUUUUAAUUUUUUUAUUUAACAUAAAAUUAUAUUUUAUUUUAAAUUUUUAAAUAACAUAAAUUGCAAGAAAAUAUUAUAUAAUAUAAUAAUAUACAAAUUAAUGGACAAAUUCAAAUAAAAGUUAAAUAUAAUUACACAAACACUCCAUUUUCAAAAUUAUUAUGUUGCUCCCAUAAAUUAAUGCAUUACGGAGUUCUAAAUGAGCAUUUUUGUCCUUAAUUUUUUAUGUCUAGCUAAAAAUUAUUCAAAUCGAAGAUAUUCAUCUACCACCAUUUCAGUCGUUGGAAUUGGAGCCUCUACAACAUCUUGAAUUGGUGCAUUAAGAUCACUUUCAUCCUCAAUCAUCAUGUUGUGUAGUAUAAUACAUGUAGUCAUUAUAUCAUGGAUCACUUCUUUUCUCAAAAAACGUGACAGUCCUGCAAUAAUUGCAAAACUCCCAAUGCAUGUUCAGCAUCUUUUCGGCAUGAUUCUUAUUUUAUCGCGAAUUAAUUAUUAUGUUAUGUAUUGUAUUUUAUCUUGCAAUUAAAUUAUUAUGCUAUGUAUUGUAUUGUUAUAUUGUAUUUAAAUUAUCAUAUUAUGUAUUGUAUUUUUAAAUUAAAUUUUUUCAUCUUAUCAUUUUAAUUUUUUGUAUUCUUUAUAGUGAAAAUUAAUAAUAAAAUCAAAUUAUAUUAUUGAAAAAAUUAGAAAAAAAUUAAAAUACUAGUAAUUUGGGAUGAAAGUAGUAUAUAUUAAAUAAUAUAUAUUUUAAAAUAUUAUAUUACAUUUAAAAAGAAUUAUGAAUAUUAGAUAUUUAAUAAAUGACACUAUAUGUAAAAUAAUAUGUUAAUUAGAAAGUAAUAGAAAUAAUAAUAAAAUAUUGAAAAAGUGAAAUAGAGAGUGUGAAUAGUAGUUCUAAAAAUUUGGAGAACUACUAUUCACCUCUCUAAAUAUGAAGAUUAGAGAGUGAUAUAGAGGUGGGUUGGAGUGUUCAUUCUCUAUUUUACUCUUAAAAUAUAGAAAAUAGAGAGUAACAUAGAGGUGGAUUGGAGAUGGUCUGACCCUACUUAUUAGAAUUCAUCCAAUAAAUAUAGUGGAGUGAGUACCAAUGGGAGCAAUAAAAUAGAGGGAUUUAUCUUCAUUAGGUGGCCAGUGAACCUCACAAUUGGCCUGCAAAUAGUGUAUGGCAUUUGGUAUAAGCCAGCGGUUAGCGUGUUAAGUUUUACUAAUCUAUUUCCCACGACAAGUAAUUAUAAUUAUAACACACCAAAGUUAAGUAAAAUUUCUCAAUCCACCUACCAAAAGAGAAGAGUUAUAUCAUUUGUAUACAUCGGUAGCACUCGAAAAAUCAAAAACAAAUUUUCAUCAUGUCGUUUCAAUAAGUUGUAAAACCAUUAGUUUGAGGUUGAUGUCUAUAAUUAAAAAAUAUUGCAUAUUUUAAAAGACUAACUUAUCUACGUAAUACAUAUCUGAAAACAAGACCAGAAGGAAAAAUUUAAACUACGGAAACAACAAUGUUCAAAUGAAACGUGUCAUAGUUCGAGUGUGUUGAUGUGAAUGGAGUUGGAAGCUAGUCAAUUCCCCACUCUUUGCGCCAUCUCUGACCAUCAUUUUUUCUUCAAGAAAAUGUAAGCCACAACCCACUAGGAUUAUUCUUCCCAUUGUUUUAUCGUCUUCAACGUUGGAAAUACGUUUGUCCAACAACCCACUUGUUGCUUAAUCAAACGCCAGAAAUUUUCUCCAUACCACAGUUACCCCUAACAUAAAAACAAUGCAUCCACUGACAGUAACACUUUCCCAAUGUCAUUUCAAGUUUAAACACAAAAACAGAUUUAGUUCCAGUUCUACUAGUAAACAAAAGAUAGAGCAGAAAAAUUAUAACUUGAUCUGAUAGCAGGGAUGACAACUUCUCAUUGAACCAUAAACUUCUUUUAUACAUCGUUAACAUAGUAGAGGAGUACAGACACAGGGGCGGCUGGCAAGGCUUGUAAAAAAGUCUUGGGCCUUAGGAUUUUUUAGUUAAUUAGGUAGGAUUAAAUUAAAAAUAAAAUAAAAUUAGAACUAAGACAAUAAAUGCAAAAGCCCCAUUUUUUAGUUAAUUAGAAAAGAUUAAAUUUAAAAGAAAUAAAAUUGUUAGAGCUAGUCAAUAGUGUAAACGGCUAAAUGAAGUGAUAGUCAUAGAUAUGACUAUCACUUUUUAACUUUCCAAUAAAAAAGUUGUGUACUUUUUUUUAAUGUACAAGUUAUUUAUUUUUUUUACCUUAUUUUUUUUUAAAUUAUAUUUUUAUAUAUUCUAUCCUCCUCCCUUUUAUUUCUUCUCACUUUCUCUUUUCUAAUCUUACAUCUCUCUCUUAUUCAAAGCUAAAAAAUUNNNNNNNNNNNNNNNNNNNNNNNNNNNNNNNNNNNNNNNNNNNNNNNNNNNNNNNNNNNNNNNNNNNNNNNNNNNNNNNNNNNNNNNNNNNNNNNNNNNNNNNNNNNNNNNNNNNNNNNNNNNNNNNNNNNNNNNNNNNNNNNNNNNNNNNNNNNNNNNNNNNNNNNNNNNNNNNNNNNNNNNNNNNNNNNNNNNNNNNNNNNNNNNNNNNNNNNNNNNNNNNNNNNNNNNNNNNNNNNNNNNNNNNNNNNNNNNNNNNNNNNNNNNNNNNNNNNNNNNNNNNNNNNNNNNNNNNNNNNNNNNNNNNNNNNNNNNNNNNNNNNNNNNNNNNNNNNNNNNNNNNNNNNNNNNNNNNNNNNNNNNNNNNNNNNNNNNNNNNNNNNNNNNNNNNNNNNNNNNNNNNNNNNNNNNNNNNNNNNNNNNNNNNNNNNNNNNNNNNNNNNNNNNNNNNNNNNNNNNNNNNNNNNNNNNNNNNNNNNNNNNAGUCGGAUGUAGAUUCCCAAGAAAAUCAAGAACUUAUAAAUGAAUUAAAUAAUCAUAUUCCUAAAAAUAUCUAUGAUCCUAGUCAAUGGAAUAUUGUUGAUACAAAGUUAAGAGACUUAUUAGUAGAAAAGGGACCAAUUAGAAUUACCGACACAUGUUUUCCAAAGGAUAAAUUUUUAAGGCACUUUUAUAAUUACAUAUUAUUUUCAAAAGUUGGCAAAUGGGGAAAGACAUGAAAGAAGAUGGUUAGUUUAUUCCAAAGAUUUGAAUAAGGUAUUUUGUUUUUGUUGUAAGUUAUUUAAUACGACAUUUAAUGCAACGAAUAAUAAGUUAGCUAAUGAAGGUAGUAGAGAUUAGAAAAAUCUUACUACUAAGCUUAGAACCCAUGAAACAACUAGCCAACAUAUUAUUAAUAUGAGUUCAUGGAUUGAUUUAGAAUUUAGAUUGCGUAAUAAUAAAACAAUCGAUAAAAACAUUCAAGACCAAAUUAAUAGAGAUAGAGAACAUUGGAAAAAUGUAGUGUCAAGAAUUAUUCCUGUCAUAAAAACUCUUGGAAAAAAUAAUUUGGCGUUUAGGGGGGAAAAUGAAAAAAUCUAUCAAGAAAAUAACGAAAACUUCUUGAGUCUUAUUGAAAUGAUUGCAGAAUUUGAUCCAAUUAUGCAAGAACAUAUUCGACGAAUCAAACAUGAUGAAAUUCAUAAUCAUUAUCUUGGACAUAAUAUACAAAAUGAAUUAAUAAAUUUAUUGGCAAGUGAAAUUAAGAACAAGAUUAUUGAAAAAGUUAUAAAAACAAAGUAUUUCUCUAUCAUACUUGAUUGCACGCCAGAUACAAGUCAUCAAGACCAAAUGUCUUUUAUAAAUUGGAGUGUAGAUAUUUCGGCAACUCCAAUAAAUGUAACCAAAUAUUUCUUAGAAUUCUUAAAAGUGGAUGAUACAAGUGGAAAAGGUCUUUUUGAAGUUAUUUUAGAUGAAAUAAAAUGUAUUGGACUUGAUAUUGAUAAUUUAAGAGGACAAGGAUAUGAUAAUGGGUCUAAUAUGAAGGGAAAACACCAAGGAGUGCAAAAAAGACUUCUUGAUAUAAAUCCUAGAUCAUUUUAUACACCAUGUGGUUGUCAUAAUCUAAAUUUGGUACUUUGUGAUAUGGUUAAUUCUUGUACGAAAGCUAUAUCAUUCUUUGGAGUGGUACAACGUAUAUAUUCACUAUUUUCUUCGUCUACUAAGUGGUGGAAAAUUUUAAAAGAUAGUGUACCUAGUUUAACUCUUAAAUCAUUGUCACAAACACGGUGAAAAAGUCGUAUUGAAAGUAGCAAUAAGGUUUCAAACUCCACAAAUAAGAGAUGCUUUAUUUAAAUUAGAAGAAGUUAGUGAUGAUCCAAAAAUUAAAAGUGAAGCUAAUUGUUUAGCAAUUUUUGAGCUUGAAAAUUUUGAAUUUUUAUUGGGUAUGACUAUUUGGUAUGAUGUACUAUUUGCUGUAAAUUCAAUUAGCAAAAGUUUACAAUCAAAAGAUAUGCAUAUUGAUGUCGCUAUAGAUCAAUUAAGAGGUUUAGUUUCUUUUUUUAAAACAUAUAGAGAAGAAGGAUUUACAAGUGCUAUGAUUUCGGCUAAGGAAAUUGCAUUAGAGAUGAAUAUUGAACCUGUAUUUCGUAAAAAACGUGUAAUUUAUAGAAAAAAACAAUUUGAUGAGAAUGUUGAUAAUGAAAUCACAAGAUCUCUUGAAGAAUCAUUUAGAGUUGAUUACUUCUUAUACAUAGUAGACCAAGCCAUCAUUUCACUUUGAAAUAGAUUUGAACAAUUUGAAGUAUCUGAAAAUAUUUUUGGUUUUCUAUUUAGUGGGAAAAAAUUGAGAUCAUUAGAUGAUGAGAAUUUAAAAAAAUAUUGUCUUAAUCUUGAAUGUUCCUUAAAACAUAAUACUCACUCCGAUAUUGACGGUUUAGACUUAUUUUCUGAAUUAAAAGUGUUGAGAGAAAUCAUAAAAGUAGAAGACAAUACUCUAAUUGAGAUACUCAAUCAAAUAAAAAGACUUGAUUCUUUUCCAAAUGCUUACAUUGCUUAUAGAAUAAUGUUAACAAUUCCCGUAACAGUCGCCUCAGCCGAAAGAAGUUUUUCAAAAUUAAAAAUAAUAAAAUCUUAUUUAAGAUCGACAAUGUCUCAAGAAAUAUUAAGUGGUUUGGCUAUAUUAUCGAUUGAAAAAGAAUUAUUAGAAGAGAUUGACUACACAAAAAUUAUUAACAACUUUGCAUCUCAAAAAGCUAGAAAAAUAGAUUUAAAAUAAAAAUAUUUAUAAUUUUUUUUAAGGCCUCUAAUUUGAUUUUGGCCUUAGGCCACCAAUGGGUUUGAGCCGCCCAAUAAAUAACAGACAUAUACUAUUAAUCAUUAUAAAACACCUAUAUGGCCACAAUACACAACCUUUACUACAAUAAAUUACACAACCUUUAUCACAACAAAUAUUAUAUGUUGCACAUCUUAGACCAGAAAGCACAAAACUCCGCAUUGACACGCGCGCACCCAUGUGUAUACACAAAAGAUACUCGCUUUCUUAACCAUCACUUCACCAUUUGUUUAUGUACAUUGUUGUUUGGUUGGGCUGGUUUAACGACUGCACUACCAACUCUAAGGUUACAAAGCAAAGCAUCACGUCCAGUUAGAAGGAUUUGAAAGAACUUAUCUGUCUCCUUUGCUAGGAGAUCUAGUCCUACUGAAAAAAAAUUUGGUUUUUUUUAGUCAGAUCUGAAGUUAGAAGUUCCAACUGUGCCGCGUCGAUAGGGUCUAUUCCAUCCUGUAUGACUAGGUAUAUCUUCUUCACACUAACAUCCAAUGCUUCAAGCUCCUUAAUUCAGUGCUGUGGAUUUCCCUCCAGAAUAUAUGCCCCUGAUCUCACCACUAAUAAAAUCACGAAGAUCAACAAAAGCUUCUGUCCACAAGCAAGUCUCGCGAACCUGCAGAUCCUUCAAUUUUGCUGCAGAACCCGAGAAUGCAACAGCAAAGAUGCUACAUAUGAAAGCAGUUGCAACCCUCACUCCAUACAUUAAUGUAUGGUUCUUUGCAUUGAUCUUGAUUCAAUGAGGCUGUCCUACAGGGGCGGCUCAACGUACUUGGAGGCCUAAAGCAAAAUUUCAAUUAAAGGUAAAAUCUUUUAGUUGAGGCAAUUAUUAUAUAAAUUGUUAACAUUAUUCUAUAAGUAAUAAGUUGACAAACUGCUUAUAAACCUUUUUUUUAUUGGUUUAAAAACACAUUAAAUAAGUUAAUCUAAACAGGCUUGUAAUUCACUUUAUCCAAAACAUGAUUUUUACUAUUGAUUCAUAUUUUUGGUAGAGCUCUAACUUACAUAUAGUAUAAAAAGGGUCUAGAAAAUUACAACGCGAGAGUUAGUGAAGAGAAUGUAAGAAGACAAAACAACUAUUUUUCUUGAUUUCUUCUAUUUGAUUGAGGUUAAGGAGAAUAAAAUAAUAUGUAUUUUUUAAAAAAAAAUACAUUUGCUUUAGAUAAUUAAUUUUUUCUAUAAAAACAAUUAACACAUAAUUUAUCGUGGUAAAAAUUAGAGGCCCCCUAAAAUUGGGGGCUAAGGCAUAUGCCUAAUUUUUAUAAGCAUUGAGCCGGCACUGCUGUCCAAGAUGGCAAAGCAAUUCUCCAGUCUAUGGUUCUUUGCAUUAAUGUGUUGCUUCCAUCCAUCCAAUGAAGAACGUGUUGGUUUUAAAAGAUGUGAAUGGAAAAUGAAGAGUUGCGACUUUUAUGAAGAGUUGUGACUUUUAUGAAAAGUUGCGACUUUUAUGAAGAGUUGCGACUUUUAUGAAAAAUUGUGACUUUUAUUAAAGUUUAUGACCUUUCCGAAAGAUUGUGACUUUUCCAAAAGUUUGUGACCUUUCCGGUAAGGCACAAUAAGAAUAUUUUCACACUACCCUUUGUUUUCUAUAAAUUGAGGGAUUUCCUCUCAUUUUAGGAGAACUAAUUUUUCUGGACUUCUUCUACUACUAUUAUUAAAUCUAGUAUUCUAAGUGUAUUUUACUACUGUUGAGUGGUUCGCUGACACCGUGGUUUUAGAUACCGAUACAUCGGUGAGUAAGAUCGUUCUAUCUUGGGAGGAUAUAUUCCAUUAACCUCUGGUACUUGAGGGGAAUAAUUUCCUUAAGGGGACAUUGUGCAUUCAGUGGGCUCGAUUUUCUUUCUUUGAGAAAAAUAUUUUUAUAUUGUUUCUAAUCUGUUUCUGAUUAUAUUUUCUCUACUAGUUUUAAUUUUCUAUUUUGAAAAUACUUUGUUGUUUCUUACCAAGUUCUUCAAAAUUUUGUUCUAAGUAUUUUAGGAAUACAAGAUGGACAACAAUCUUAAGGAAAUUAUUAUACUAUUGGUAUUUAAUUUCUUGUAUUCUACUGAUUGAGGGAAACAGAUCAUGGAAAUAGAAGAUUAAUGCAUUACUUCUCCAGAAUUCGGUGUUUUGUUUAGCAAGGUCGAAGUGAGAAUGUACUAGAAGAAUUGGUGGUAUUUCGUUUAAAAAUUACACCAGGUAACCUUCUUAUUAUUUAUCUAAGGAGGAAAAUAGUUUCUACAAGUUAAUAGUUUUGAUAUUUAUCAUGUAUGUCUUUGGAAAAAGAUAUGCAAACCAUAUGAUUUUUGAAAGAAUUUUCCUUGGCAAAAAGUGUUGCCUUUAAAAUUCUUUAGUUUGUAGAAUGAGAGAUGCACAUUUUUGUUUGAUAAAAUAGUAUGUCAAAAUGUUAUAGUUGGAAGGCUAUUUGAAAAGAAAAACAUAUCUAUGUGAUAAUCUAAGAAUAUGUUUAAUUCUGUUUGGAGACUAAAAUAAUUUUUUUUUGUAGUUUUGUACUCCAUGUGAAAUUUGAUUGUGUCUGAUUUUUGUAGACUAAAUUUUUUUGUAGUUUCUACUCUGGAUAAAUUAGACUAUGCAACUGUUUUGAAGAAUAUGAAAACUUCACAUAAUAAGUCAAUGUUGUACUUUUAAUUUUCUAUAAACUUCAUUGUUAUAUAGAAACAAAUUGUACAAUUUUUUUUGUUUUUAUUGUUAGUAUUCUAAAUACUAAGUGGUAUGUCUAUUUGUGAUAGAGAAAAAAUACCAAUGACUUAGAGUUUGUAAUUUUGUGCCUCUGGAAUGAACUUUGACAUUGUGUAAUGAUUGUCAAAUGGAAUUGAAGCACUAUAAUUCUUUUGUAGAAUAAUAUUUUCAAAAGAGGUUUCAUGUUGCCAAUGACACUUUGAUAGCAUGAGAAAAAAAAAUAUGUGAAAAAACCAUUUUCAAAUACUUGAAAAAUAUUUUUGAGAUUAUAUUUAAAAUGUGGUGGUUCUUUGCUUAUGAUAAAGAUAAAAUUAGGUUUGGUGUCUAAUUUAAUUUAGGAGCAAAAUAUAUUAAAUUCAAUGAUACUUUUGUAUUAUGUUAGACCCAUAAAAAUCUUGGAGUAUAUUUGAUAUUGUGGUUGUUGAGUUUCUCUUUUACUAGUAUAUGGUGUGACUAGUAUGAAACUACCAAAUUAUAUAUACACUUGUUCAAAAUAAUUAUGUUCUUUAAUGAAAAAGUGUCACUUAAAAUGUUGUGAUUUUUCAUGGAAAGAUAUGUCUAUCAAAUAUAACUAUUUGUAUAGACACGAAUAUUGGUGAAUAGUCAUUUGUCAUGUUUUGUAAAAGAAGCAUUUGGACUAUAUUGCCUUUAUUGGACCCGAUGAAACUUUUGUUCAUGGGUAGUUCUAUAACAAUCAAGUUGAAAGUUAUGGAAAGGUCCUUCCAAAACGGAUAUUUGACAAGGUGAUGACUCUAAACAAUGUUUGUAUCACACAAAAUUAUAAGAAAUAGGAACAAAAUAUUUGUGAGAAAAAGCUACCUCGCGGAGACCUUUUCAAACUCAACAUUUUUAUUUGUUCUUACUUGCUUGAGUCAAACUGUUUGUGACAUGAACACUUGGGGAAUGUCGAUUACAAAACCUUGUAAGGAAAACUGAUCAACUUAGAAGUUUUGUCUAACUUUGAAUGCAAUAAAUAAAAAUGUCAAGUUUGUGUGGAAUCUUAGUAUGGUGAGCAUUCUUAUAAAUCUGUUGAAAGGAAUUCUAAUCCCUUAGAGUUGAUUUACACUGACAUUUAUGAUAUGAAGUCAACACCAUCUUGUGGUGGGAAAAUAUAUCUCGUAACUUUCAUUGACAAUUGCAUUAGAAACGACUAUGUCUAUUUACUGAAUGGUAAGGAUGAAGCAAUAUAAAUGUCUAAGAUAAUAUAAUAUUGAAGUUGAAAAUCAGUUGGGAAAAAGAUAAGAAGUGAUAGGGAUGGAGAAUAUAAAUCUCCUUUUGCAGAAAUAUGUUUGGAAAAUGGAUUUAUCCAUCAAACUAUUGUCCUAUUCACCUAAAUCUAAUGGAAUUGCAGAAUGAAAUAAAAAAUACCCAAACUUUGAAGAAAAUGAUGGUUGCAUUACUUAUAAGUUCAGGUUUACCACAAAACUUGUGUGGAAGAGCUAUCCUUACUGCAAAAGGGAACAACAAAAAGUUGUCUUUUCAGAAAGAAAGCAAUUUUGUUUGUUCAGGACACAAUCUAUUCCAUAUGAGAAAUGGAAAUGAAGGAAAAUUCAACUUGAAAUAUUUUAAAGUGUGAGGGUGUCUAGCCAAAGUCCAAGUUCCUAUUCCUAAAAGGAUUAAAAUAGGACCUAUGAUUGUGGACUGUAAAAUUAGACUUAAGUAGUCUAGUGAAGGAUUUAAAAGACCUUGAAAAGAAAAAAAAGAGAAUGUACUUAAUAAAGAGAUUCAGAUGCGUAGUAAAUGUCAAAGGACAUCUACUUCCUUCGAAUAUGAUUUUGUAACAUUUCUUGUGUCUUCUGUAGACUCAUCAUGUUGGAAAGAUGGUGUCAAUAGUGAGAUUGAUGCAAUCUUGAGCAACCAUAUUGGAAGUUAAUUGAUCUUCUUCCAGAAAAUUAACCUUUGGGUUCAAAGUGAAUCUUCAGAAGGAAAAUGAAAGUAGAUGGAACUGUUGAUAAAUAUAAAAGCAAGACUUUUUGUCAAAGGCUUUAGACAAAACAAGGUCUUGAUCUUUUCGACACAUACUCACCAAUAACUAGAAUUACAUUUAUUUGGAUGUUAAUUGUGUUAGCUGUGGUAUAUGACCUCCAAAUUCAUCAAAUAAAUGUGAAAAUAACUUUCUUAAAUGGAUAAUUGGAGGAAAAUAUGUACAUGGAACAACCCGAGGGUUUUGUGGUUCCUGGUAAAGAAAAAAAAGUGUGCGAACUUGUUAGGUCACUUUAUGGACUAAAACAAGCACCAAAACAAUGACAUAAGAAAUUUGACCAAACCAUGUUGGCAAAUAGAUUUAAGAAUGAUGGAAGUGAUAAAUGUGUUUACAUUAAAAUCACAAGGUCAUUGUUUGUUUGUAUAUUGAUGACAUGUUGAUCAUCAGUAGAGACACUAAUGACAUAAAUGCUACUAAAUGUUUGCUAGAAAGCAAGUUUUGAUAUGAAAGAUCUUGGAGUUGCUGAUGCGAUCUUAGGUAUAAGAAUCCUUAGAACUCCAUAAUGUUUAGCAUUGUCACGAUCUCAUUGCAUUGAAAAAGUAUUUGACUAGUUCAAAUAUUUAGAUUUUAAUAUUGUCAAAACUCCAAUAAGAGCCCGUUUGGAUGGGCUUUUAAGUUGGUCAAACUGACUUAAAAGUCAGUUUUUGACUUAUUAGACUGUUUGACAAUUAUCAAAGUGACUUAAAAUAAGUCACUUUUGGCUUAUUUUAAGUCAAAAGUUAAAAGUAGGGUGAGGGCUACUUUUUUUUUUUAACUUAAAAGUCAUUUUAUGUUGACCAAGUAUAUUACCUUUUUGCCCUCAAUUCUUUUACACAAUUCCCAAAUUGCCCUUAAAACCCUAGCAUUUCUUUACCUCAAUUUUCUUUUUCACGUUUGUGCGGCUGGAAGCGUGAAGCGGUUCUUCCUUUUCUCUCGAUUGAUAGCAAUGGUAUUAGAUGUAGGAAAAUAAUGAAUAGUUUUAAGUUUUUUCUUGAUUAUCUUUUGAUUUUUGUUUUUUUUAUUAUGUAUUUUUUAUUGUGUCUUCUGUCGCUGAUCUUGUUUUAUGUAUUUUCUGUGAUCUAUUUAAAUUAUAUAUUUUUAAAAUCUACAAUAAGUUGCACAUAUAAAAUUAACUUAAAUAAUAAAUUUAUAUUCCUCUUAUAAAUAAUUUGUGAUGAUAAAGAAAUAUGUGAAUGAUAGGAAAAUAUUAUUACUUAUGGAUGUAAAAUAUAAAUUAAUUUUGUUUUACUUUGUUUAAGAAUAAAAACCUUAAAUUAAUCAACCUUUUAUCAUGUUAACCACUUUAAGGGUAUUUCAGACAUUUUGAUAAAAAAAANNNNNNNNNNNNNNNNNNNNNNNNNNNNNNNNNNNNNNNNNNNNNNNNNNNNNNNNNNNNNNNNNNNNNNNNNNNNNNNNNNNNNNNNNNNNNNNNNNNNNNNNNNNNNNNNNNNNNNNNNNNNNNNNNNNNNNNNNNNNNNNNNNNNNNNNNNNNNNNNNNNNNNNNNNNNNNNNNNNNNNNNNNNNNNNNNNNNNNNNNNNNNNNNNNNNNNNNNNNNNNNNNNNNNNNNNNNNNNNNNNNNNNNNNNNNNNNNNNNNNNNNNNNNNNUUAUUAUUAUUAUUAUUAUUAUUCCUCUUAUAAAUAAUUUGUGGUGGUAAAGAAAUAUGUGAAUGAUAGGAAAAUAUUAUUACUUAUGGAUGUAAAAUAUAAAUUAAUUUUGUUUUACUUUGUUUAAGAAUAAAAACCUUAAAUUAAUCAACCUUUUAUCAUGUUAACCACUUUAAGGGUAUUUCAGACAUUUUGAUAAAAAAAAGUGUUUACCAGCACUUAUUUGCCAAACACAUCAACAACUUUUUUUCAAUUGCAAUACUUUUAUCCAAACACAUAACUACAUAUUUUAAAAAUAAGUUUCAGCACUUUGAAAACUUACUCUUUUUAAGUCAAUCCAAACUGGCUCUAUAUGUGAGCUCUGCAUUUCAAAAGAGUGAAGGCAAAAGUGACUCACAAUUGGAUUGUGCUAGAGUAUUGGGAAAUAUGAUGUAUAUCACGAAGUGUGCGCGAUCAUAUAUAGCAUGUGUUGUUUAUGAACUGAGUCAGUUCACGAGUGAUCCCAAUCGAACUUAUUGGAUGACAAUGAAAAGAGUUUUGGGGUAUUUAAAACAUACUCAAAACUAUGUCCUGCAUUAUAAUAAUAUCCAGCAGUAUUGAAAGGAUAUAGUGAUGCAAAUUGGAUCACUGGGAUCAAAUGAAGUAAAAUCCACGAGUGAAUAUGUAUUUACUCUUGGUGGAUGAGCAGUCUCUUGAAAAUCUUCCAAAAAGACAUGUAUCGCUAGCUCUACAAUGAUCUCUGAGCUAGGUGCUCUAGAUAAGGCCGGUGAAUAAGUUGAAAGACUCCGGAAUUUCUUGAUAGAUAUUCUUUUUUUUUUUGCCCAAACCAUUGGCAUCAGUAUGCAUACACUUUAAUAGUCAAGAUGCAAUAGGUAGGGCAUGAAGCAUGAUGUAUAACGAAAAGUCUUGUCAUAUAAGACAUAGACAUAAUACCGUUAGAAAACAACUACUCUCUACUGAAAUUAUCACAAUUGACUAAGUAAAGUCAAAGGAUAAUGUGUCAGAUCCACUUACAAAAAGGCCUAACUAGAGAGAAAUUUGAAAGAUCAUCUAAGAGAAUGGGUUUACGGCUUAGGACAAGUUAUUAUGGCGGCAACUCUAUCUAGCAGACUAGAGAUCCCAAGAGUUAGAUUCAAGGAGAAAAACAAAGUUGUGACUGACGGUUCGACAUUGUCAAUCAAUUCAAUCCAUUCUCAUGAUGAAGACAAUGUUCAGGAACGAGGUUAUAACAUUAAGGCUUGUUAAUGAGUUAAUAAAGCUUAAUGUUUUUAAUGAUUUGCUAAGUUUGGCAAACUUGACCAAAUAGUGUAUCCACGCGAUGACACAGUUAGAAAUCACCUAUGUGAGUGUGAAGUGUAAGCCGCUUCAAAGAGAAUUAUUGUCAAAAGCCUAUUCUCUAUACACUCAUGAAACCAGGAGGUGUUCAUGGCUGAAACGAAUACAACUGUAAGAUAAACGGUAAAGGGUUAAUUGUGUGACAUAUGGUUGUCUAGGUAUACAUCUAAGCUCGACGGUUCAAAGAUAUCGCAUUUACCGAUUGACCGAGUAUUCCGACAUAUGUUCACUACGGAAAGUCCAAAGGGAAACCUACUUAUCCAGAUGCAAUUAAAUUUUGCUUGUAAAGUACACAUACUUGUCCGUUUCUUUGUCUUGGAGUCAUUCCCCAUUCAUGCAGGGGAUUGUUGGGUUUUAAAAGGUGUGAAUGGAAAAUGAAGAGUUGGGACUUUUAUGAAUAGUUGUGACUUUUAUGAAGAGUUGCGACUUUUAUGAAGAGUUGUGACUUUUAUGAAUAGUUGUGACUUUUAUGAAAGGUUGUGACCUUUUCGAUAGAUUGUGACUUUUCCAAAGGUUUGUGACCUUUCCGAUAAGGCACAAUAAGAACUUUUUCACACUACCCUUUGUUUUCUAAAAAUUGAGGGAUUUCCACUCAUUUUAGGAGAACUAAUUUUUUUGGACUUCUUCUACUAUUACUAUUAAGUUUAGUAUUUUAAGUGUAUUUUACUGCUGUUGAGUGGUUCACUGACACCAUGGUUUUAGGUACCAAUACACCGGUGAGUAAGAUCGUUCUAUUCUAGGAGGAUAUAUUUCAUUAACCUCGGGUACUUGAGGGGAAUAAUUUCCUUAAGGGGACACUGUGCAUUCAGUUGGCUCAAUUUUCUUUCUUUGAGAAAAAUUAUUUUUAUAUUGUUUCUAAUUUGUUUCUGAUUCUAUUUUCUCUACUAGUUUUAAUUUUCUAGUUUGAAAAUACUCUUUAAACUUUGUUGUUUCUUACCAAGUUUUUCAAAGUUUUGUUUUAAGUAUUUUAGGAGUACAAGAUGGACAACAGAACGAGCCUUCAUGAAUUGUGUUGAGGAGCAAUCCAGCUUGUGCAAGCUGCAUUGAAAAUAAAGGUGGCCUUGGCUAAGCCUGGAAAUCUCAGAGCUGUAGGCUACGCACAUAUCCAGCAUCCUCAAACUAUUGUCCAAGUAGACACCAAUCCACUUCUCAUCCCAGUCAGAUACAGGAAGUUCGAGAUCAGUAAUAAGAGUUUUCACAUCUGUAUGGACUGCACAAAGUGUGCUUAUUGCUUGUUUCAUCCAUGAAAGGCUAAGGAUAUCUUCCUUGCCUCCAGGCUUAAGACUCUUAAGUCUCCCUGCUAAUGUCUGCUCAAAUGAAUUCAACAGAGCAUGAAGUUUAGGAGAUAAGUAUGUGCCCUUGGGUGAUAAUAUCAUUUUGAAUGGAUUUCCAAAUUGGGGUCUAGUAGCAACGAAAUUACACUAGGUAUGUUGUUGUAGUCACUUCUCUAUUAUUAACUUUAUAUCUUCGAAGGUUGCAGGAGUGUGGGAUUAAAGAGAGAAUUUUAUGGCCUGACUUGCACAACAUGUUUUGGACCAAGUAUUUGACGCUAAGGGCAUUAGUGAUUUGAAGUAUUAACGGAGGGGAAAUAUGCUUAAUUUCGCAUAGUAUGAGGUAUAUUUGGACCAUUCCCGAACAAUAUAUUGUAUCCCGAGGACAAGUUUGUGUUAGUACUACGCAGAAGAUGAGUGAACUAAUCUUGCUUAGGGCGGGUGAAGAAGGGUAUCCAGUUGAAAUCUAUGCACUUUUUUUCUUUCUAUUUUUCGUUUAGAUGUGUUUGACAUACUUAUAUCUUAUUUAUCAAAGUGAUUUUAAUGGGUGAAUGACCAUAUUCCUAGGUAAUUUUGCAUAUGCACUUCCCAGGUUUACUCAACUUACAAUGACUUCAUAUUGUAAUGUUUCAAGUGCAUGAGGCGUAUUCACAAUUUUAAAAGGAUGAGUGUAUUAUUAUUAAAAGAUGCAUCUAAGAUAUAAAUUUGUCCGUUUUGAUCUUUAAGUUCUUAACAUUGAAUCGUUAAAUUUUAAAAAUAUAGGUUCAAAAUAUAUAAUACUACUAGUUUUAAAUUUGAGAUAAGAGUCAAAACACAUCUAAACUGAUAAGAUGAGAGAUUCGGGAAGACGAAAGUACCUUUGUUUGUAUUGUGUGUAGAUCUGUAAAACUGUUUGAUUUAUUGGCCAACUCUUUUUGGCGGUUAGUUUUUGGUGGGAAUUCUGAAAUUUUUGACUUUCCUUUCAAUUUCGAAUUUUCGUUAAAUUACUAGUGUACCCUCAAUUGAUUGGGUCACCUUAACCUGACAAAUGGUUAGUAAACCUAUGGCCCAAAUCCAACCACGUACAUGUCCUUUUCUUUAGAUAGCUUUCAUUUAGAAUUCGUUUUUUAUUUUUAAAAACUUAUGCAAAUGUAAACUCGAGAUAAAUUAUACUUUUGAAUUAUUUUACAUUUUGGUCUAAUGAUUGUUUUGCUCGUACUGUUUUCAAUCUUAAUACUCUAUUUGAUUGUCAACAAACGCUCGUCAUAAUUUAUAUAAUAAGAAUGUAGUUUAAUAAUUUCUUAUUAGAUUUUUUUGUUUGUUUUGAAGAAAGAUUAUGAUUUAAAGUGUCCUUAAAUUAUUAUAGUACGAAAGAAAACAUUUAUUAAACAUAUGUCCUAAAAUGGGAUAGUAGACGAAAACCAAACAGACAAAGUAGAAACUAUUGUCCAUUUUUUAUUUUUCCCCGUAUCGUUCCAAUGCUUAGACCAUCUCCAACCCACCUCUAUUUUAGUCUUCAUUCUUUAUAUUUAGAGAGUAAAAAUAGAGAAUGGGUACUCCAACUCCUCUUUAAUUUAAUCUCUAUUCUUCACUUUUAAAGAGGUGAAUAUUAGUUCUACAAAUUUGGAGAACCACUUUUACAUUAUUUUAUUAUUAUUUCUAUUAUUGUGUAAUUAACAUAUUAUUUUACUUAAAUAUCUAAUAUUCGUAAUUUUUUAAAAUGUAAUAUAAUAUUUUUUAAAAUAUAUUAUUUUAACAUGUACUAUAUUCAUUCCAAAUUGAUAAUAUUUCAAUUUUUUAAAAUUUUUGUCACUAAUAUAAUUUGAUUUUAUUAUUAAUUUUCACUAUAAAGAACGUACAAUUAAAAUGAUAAGAUGAAAAUUUUAAUUUUAAAAAUACAAUACAUAACAUAAUAAUUUAACUACAAGAUAACAGUCUAAUACAUAAGAUGAUAAUUUAAUUACAAGAUAAAAAUACAAUACAUAAGAUAAUAAUUUAAAUACAAAAAUAACAAUACCAUAAUAACAUAAUAACUUAUUUAUCACAACAAUAAUUUAGUAAUCCAAUAGGUCAUUUCCAUAUUUAGUAAUAUUUUGGGGAAAAAUAAUGUAUGGUCCAGAAAAUUGUUAUAAUUGCAGUUGUGCAUAUUGAUUUAUUUUUUCAAUUAUUCAUAGUUGUUCUUGUUGCAUGUAAUUACGAACAUUUGGAUCACUAAUAGCUUCUAAAUUUAUCCAUAAAAUUUUAUUUUCUUAUAUAACUUCCUUGAGUUUGAUAUAUCUAUCUAGCCUAACGCUAUCUUGUUGUUUGGAUGUAGCAGACUCUAAUUGUACCAAUAGAAAUUGUGGUAGAUGAAAAUCUCUGAUUUGAACUAUUUUUAGUUAGACGUAAAAAAUUUAGGAUAAAAAUAUUACUUUUGAACUCCGUAAUGCAUUAUUAGAGUAAUUUUGGGGGUAACAUAAUAAUCUUGAAAGUUGAGUAUUUAUGUAACGUUUAUGUAAUUGUAUUUCAUUAAUGAUUUCACUUUUAUUCGAAUUGUGCAUUAAUUUGUAUAUUAUAUAAUAUUUGAUUGCAGUUUAUGUUAUUUAGAAAUUUAGAAUAAAAUAUAAUUUUAUAUUAAAAAAUAAUUUGAAAAAAUAAAAUAUUAUAUCACAUGAAAUUUACUCCAUAAAGUGAUUAUUUGAAAAAAAAGAAGCAAUAAUUUAUGUUAUGAAAUAAGAAAAUAAGAAUGAAAUAGAAAUAAAAAUAUAAUAUUGAGGAGACAGAAAUAUAUUCUAUUUUAGAGAAUUGAGUUGGGGUUGAUUUUCUAAAAAAAUAAAAAAUUGAGUUAAAGUUGAUUUAAAAAAUAAAUAAAUCUAUAUUUGGAGACUAAUAGAGAAUAUGGUUGAAGAUGUUUAAAAGAAGGUGAAAGUGAAAGUAGUAGACGAUUCAAUUUACAGCCCACGAAACAUGGAGCCCACCCAAUUCAUACUUCAUAGCCCUAACGGCGGUAGAACAGAAAAUUUUCAAUUUACAAUAAAGCUGGACUCCACUUGGUACAGUUCAAGUUUAAUCUAGGAACCUUAGGCUUUCGUUUUUUUUUCCAACAAAGGGAGGAAACAGACGAAGAUCAAGCUAGGUAAGGCUUUGAAUAUCUUAUAUGUAUUAGCACAUAUUAUGCGUAUAAACUCAUGCACUAUCUAGGUUUUGAUUGUAAAGAAGAGAGAAUUUACAAAUUUAAGUGUGUCUAGGUUUUGAAUGUAAAAAAAGAGAGAACUUACAGAUUUAAGUGUUCUUUUUUUUUUGUGUGUGUGCAGUUCUUCGGGAUCAGUUUUUUGUUUUAUUGGUAAUCCGUGUGUUUUAACUUUUGCAGGCUAUUUUAAAUUCAGAAUUUCCCCCAUCUAAAGAUGGUAGGUUUAACGAAAAUCGCUUUGUGAGCUGUAGGGUUAGGGUUAGGGUUUUGAGUUCUUAUGAAGCUCUAAUUUUUAUUUUUCUUCUGUCUCAGUUUCCCCUCUUUUUGCUCAAGACUGCACAGGGGAUCCCAUGGUAAGCUUUUGAAUUCAUGUGGAAAAAGGGUAGUGUCUCCUCUUUUUUCUCUCUUCCUUGUUUAUUGUUUAGUCUGAUCUUAUUUCUUUUCGGUGUGAUAAUGCAGUUAGCUCAAUUAGGUUUUUCGAAGUGUUGCAUGUUUUGAAUGAACCUGAACUUAUUAAUAACAUACAAAAACAACAAACCCUGUGAAUAAAAUAGUUAUGGAAUACAUGAGUGUGAUUCUCCUGUUGUAGCUGUUUGGAAAAUUGGAGGGAGAAUAACAAAAAUGAUUUCAUGUUUUGUCCUGUUGUUAGUUGAGGCUUUUGGCUAACAUUAUUAAAGGCAACAGACUUUUUGUUGGUAUAGUUUAUCAGUUUCUGCAUAUUUAUAUUGUAUCUCCAAAUUAUGCCACACGUCCCUGGAGCCCACGAGAUUCGAGGGAUUUUGAGAAUUCGUAUGGGAUUAUUUUAUUUGUUCAAUUAUAUCAAUCUGGAAACUUUUGUUUUCUAAUACAAUUGGUGGAGCUAAAAAAUGGAGACUGAUAAUGGUCAUUUGGUGAAUUGUGAUACUUGGAUGAAAAUCCAUCUUCGUGAAGUUAUCUGUACGUCAAAGGUAAUUCAUUGUUUUUUAAUAUUUUAUUGCUAGGUUUUCAAAUGUAUUGGUGCAAGACCACUUGAUUUUGAAAAUUUAAUGCAGGAUGGAGAUAGAUUUUGGAGAAUGCCUGAAUGUUAUAUUCGUGGCAAUACCAUAAAGUAUCUUAGAGUUCUUGAUGAGGUUAGUUUAUUUUCUUAAUUACUAUGAUUAAUAAUGCUUUCGUGUAGUAUUAUUCGUUUUUCACUUGCAACAUAGUGUGUAUGGCACUUUUGGACUUUGUACUAAGGGAACAGAAGAUGGGUGCCUAUUUUGUAGUAGUUAUUUGUAUUAUUAAAUGGUUGCUUUGCAGGGGUGACUGUAAAAUUCGUAAACUAGUUGUGCAAUGGCAGUUUCUACUUAAGUAACUAGGACUAAACUACUUGCUUUAGUGCUAUCACUCAACAUGACAAUGAGUUUGAAAAAUCUUUAGUUUUCAUAGAGAGUACACGUUAAUAUACACAAUAAUAUUUUUUUACACACCUAACGUGCAGGCUUGAAUUCUUUUUCCCAUGCCAAGCACACAACUUAUUUUCUGAUAAUGGGUGGGUUGAGAAAUGCACCAUGUUGAGAUGUGAAAUGUGUGAUCAUUUGAUGUAAAAGCUUGAGUUGUUAGGGAGAACACAUUUUAAUUUACUUAAUAACAUCUUGUACAGAACACUGAGGACGGUCCAUUUACACCAUUAUCGUGGUGCAUUCUAGGGGCUUGGUUUGAUGUAAGUAGGUGGAAUCAAGAUACUUGCUAAUCUUGGUGUGACCAGACUCAUGGAUAUACUUGUCUAGUUAUUCACUCAAUGGGGCUUUUAGGGGUGGGUUUCAGUUGUGUUGUUGUAGGCUGAAGUUAUGUUACUAGCUAAUAUGUGGUGUCUGGGUCUAUGUGGCUAAACUUACCAUGACAUGCUUGGAUUCAGAGCUGGAAAACAUAGAGAACCGGGUAGAAAAGUUAAAAGAGGUAUCAGCAGUACCAAGCAAUAAUGCAGGGAACUGAAGGUUGAACUUAUAACACAACUCUGAUGUUCCUAAAGGCUAAAUAGAAAUGCAUCCAUACUCUUGUUGCCUCUUUUCUACUGAUAAAAUAGAUUUCUUGAAAUGAAAUCAUUGUUGUGGUUGGAACAUUAGUGUUUUAGACUUCGAACAUAGUGUUCUUCUCAAAUAAGAUGUGUAGCCAAGUGGUUUUCAUAUAAGAUUCGGAAGUUAGAUAAUUCUUAGUUCUUAAGUAAUUAUUUUCCAAUAUUACUGGCUUAUUUUAUAUAAGAUAUCCUAUACUAAAAUAGAUUAUAAAAUGUUAGAUAUCAUAAGGUUGAACCCCUAUUGAUGUUGUUCUUUCUUGCGUGCUUGUAGUCAACUGUAUGUUCAUUUCCUCGUGACUGUGAGUAGAACAUUCCUGUACGAAGAGAAUUGAUUACGCUGAUGUGAUGCAAUUUAGCCAAAUAAGACAUUGUUGUGCUCCCUAUGGACCGUUGAAUCUGACACCUUACGUAGGAGUGCGACUCUAUGAAGCUUUAGCGAUGACAAGCUUCCAUGUGAAAUUUAACGUUUGCAGUUUUGACUAAAUAAAGCGGCGGCACAUGCUUUCUGCUUUUAUUUUCUGUUUACAUCGUAUUAUGCACUCUUCCGCCCUAUUUUUUUAAUAGCUCAUGACAGGCACAUAUGGGAAGUUAUCCUAGCUUCUCUCGUCCAUUCGCCGUCCACACAUUCAUAGUUGAUUUAGGAAUGACCUUUGAGUUUUGGAGGUUAUCCUUUUGUUGAUCUUUUAGGAGUGCCAGGAACCAUCUUUUCCCAGUGUUUGUUUCCUUUGUUAGAUGCUUUUUUUAUUUUGUUUGUGUGGGCUUUCAAUACUAUCUAGGAAGGGAGAUGAUGUUUGAAUACAACUGUUAUCCUAAUUUUCUGUACUUCUUCUUUGUUUGGACACAUGGGGGGUGGGGGGUUUGAAAAGGAGAGGUAGGUGAGAAGAGUUUUCAUGGGCAGCUCACAUUUUCUUUUAAAAAGUCAUAACGUUAACAGAUAGAAGAAACUAUAAAAUGAAAACCCCCUAUAUCCUUUCAGACGU